This 48001-nucleotide long non-coding RNA is filed under the name Hordeum vulgare. RNAcentral describes it as "long non-coding RNA (HVUL_LNC010990)". The record is from RNAcentral. Lineage: Eukaryota; Viridiplantae; Streptophyta; Magnoliopsida; Poales; Poaceae.
GUCUGAGUUGGUGGCGGCGGCGGCCGAGCCCAAGAGCCCGGUCGCCCUGGCAGCCUUCGACGGCUUCUUCUCUGCUUAACGAGUAGUGUGUGAAUUGAUUCGGAGGAGUUUACCUCUCCCCCAGUGUCAUGUACUGUAACUCCGAUGUGUACAUAACCGUGUGGUUUGCUGAUUUGCAACAAGGAAGAAGUGUGCUUUUUGUACCGCUCUUGGUACCUUCUUGGAGGGCAGAUAUGCCUAUGCGUUUUGCCAUUUUAUCUUUGAAAUUUCGUGUCAAGCUGCCAACAGACUAGUCUGGUUGUCUUGGCAUACUCGAGUGGUUUUGCCGACUGCUGAUGCUUGUUUGAAGCCCCAACCUUCAUCCAAUCCCUUCAAAUCUUUAUUUAUCCCUAAUACAUUAGGUAGAAGUAGUGUAUUGAGUAUUGAGAAAAAUGCAUUAUAAUUUGAGGAGAAAUAUGGGGAUGAAACAUGUCAAAUACACUAGAAUAAAAUGGUGUUAUGGGAUGUGUGGUGAUCGAGUAGUUUGACCAGAAUAAUCCCCAUAAAUUUCCUAAAAUACACUAGUACCAACGAGUAGUUUGACCAGAAUAAUCCCCAUAAAUUUCCUAAAAUACACUAGUACCAAACAAGUCCUUGAUGGUGGCACCCCGACACAGCAAUAGCUCAUCAUAUGAAACCAAAAUGGGGUUAUUAUGGCCCGGUUUAAAGGCGUUAAACAGGGAUGCAAACAUGUUCGCCAAAUCAGCGGCGAUGAGGACCGAAGACCGCCGCGUCAAGUGGCAGGGCUGAAACCGCAUCACCUCCAUACAGGUUUACUAGAUGUGAGAAAAUUCGUUUGGUAGCGUACACGGAGGUCUAGUUUGCACUCACACGAAUCAUAAAGCAGCUCAUAGCAUGGCUAGUUAGAGCAUCUUCAACAAACGAGGCUGGGCGCGCGUAACGACCGUUUUUGCGACGCUGCAAAUUUUUAACACGUCAACAUGUCGCUUCAACAGACGCUAUAACAAAUCAAGCGCGCGUUCAGCUGAUGCACAUAUAAGAUGAUCAAACAUUCAAAAUAUGCAAAGUUUGCACAAACAAAAUGAGCACAAGCAAGUUCAUGACAAACAAGUUCACACAAAUAAAUUAAACAUGAACAAUCAUUCUUCAUCCUCUUCUUUCCGCAAAAAAGAAAAAUUCUUUAUCCUCUUCCUCAUCGUUGGCCUCUUUCGAUUUGUCCGUUUCUUCUUCUGAUUUUUCAUCCUCUUGUUUGUUCUCUUUCUCAUUGAAAAGUCGAAUGGUGUUUGAACUAUCAAUAAAGUAGCAGUUCAUAGCAUGGCUAGUUAGAGCAUCUUCAACAAACGAGGCUAGGCACGCGUAACGACCGUUUUUGUGCUUCAUCAGACGCUGCAAAUUUUUAACACGUCAACAGACGCUAUAACAAAUCAAGCGCGCGUUCAGCUGACGCACAUAUAAGAUGAUCAAACAUUCAAAAUAUGCAAAGUUUGCACAAACAAAAUAAGCACAAGCAAGUUCAUGACAAACAAGUUCACACAAAUAAAUUAAACAUGAACAAUCAUUCUUCAUCCUCUUCUUUCUGCAAAAAAAAUAAUUCUUUAUCCUCUUCCUCAUCGUUGGCCUCUUUCGAUUUGUCCGUUUCUUCUUCUGAUUUUUCAAUCUCUUGUUUGUUCUCCUUUUCAUUGAAAAGUCGAACGGUGUUUGAACUAUCAAUAAAGGUAUCAUACAAGGCAUGUGAGGCACACCGAAAACUCCCAUCCAUCCAUGCCAUCGAAAGCAUGUGAGAACAACUAUGCCAUCGAAAGCAUGUGAGAACAACUAAAAUCAGACUACAUAUGCGCACAUUUGCCAACAACAACAAAAUAAAAACAAAAAUUGUACCUUGUGAGCAUUUCAUCAAGGAUUAUGUGUGCAUUGGCCGCCGACGCAACAAAUUGCGAGGUUUUCACCGCUUCGCGCGGCGGAGGUACGGCCGGCUUCACUCGUGUCUUCUUCUUUAUUACCGCUUUCCNNNNNNNNNNNNNNNNNNNNNNNNNNNNNNNNNNNNNNNNNNNNNNNNNNNNNNNNNNNNNNNNNNNNNNNNNNNNNNNNNNNNNNNNNNNNNNNNNNNNUUGAGGGCCAAGGCAGGAGAGCCACACGGGGCCCACAAGCCCUGUAGCCGCCACCACGGGGGGGGGGGGCUACCAGUCUUGUGGACCCCCUGGAGCUCCCCUGCCCUAGCUCUUUCGCCUAUAAAUUCCCUAAAAUCCCAGAAAAAAAUCAGGGCAUCCACGAAAACACUUUUCCGCCGCCGCAAGCUUCCGUUUCCGCGAUAUCUCAUCUGGAGACCCUUCCCGGUGCCCUGCCGAAGGGGACUUUGGAGUUGGAGGGCUUCUACAUCAACAUCAUCACCUCUCCAAUGACUCGUGAGUAGUCCACUUCAGACCUACACGUCCGUAGCUAGUAGCUAGAUGGAUUCUUCUCUCUCUUGGAUCUUCAAUACAAAGUUCUCCAUGAUCUUCAUGGAGAUCUAUCCUAUGUAAUCCUCUUUGGUGGUGUGUUUGUCGAGAUCCGAUGAAUUGUGGAUUUGUGAUCAGAUUAUCUAUGAAUUGUAUUUGAGUCUUUGCUGAUUUCUUAUAUGAUGAUUUGAUAUCCUUGUAAGUCUCUCCGAGUCUUGGUUUUGUUUGGCCAACUAGAUCUAUGAUUCUUGCAAUGGGAGAAGUGCUUGGUUUUGGGUUCAUACCGUGUGGUGACCUUUCCCAGUGACAGAAGGGGCAGCAAGGCACACAUCAUGUUGUUGCCAUCAAGGGUAAUAAGAUGGGCUUUUAUCAUAGAUAUGAGAUUGUCCAUCUACAUCAUGUCAUCUUGCUUAAGGCGUUACUCUGUUCUUAUGAACCUAAAACACUAGAUGCAUGCUGGAUAGCGGUCGACGUGUGGAGUAAUAGUAGUAGAUGCAGAAAGUAUCGGUCUACUUGCUUUGGACGUGAUGCCUAUAGAUAUAAUCAUUGCCAUAGAUAACAUCACGACUUUGCGCGGUUCUAUCAAUUGCUCGACAGUAAUCCGUUCACCCACGGUCUAAUUGCUUUCAUGAGAGAAGCCACUAGUGAACACCACGGCCCCGGGUCUAUCCAUAACUAUCGUCUCCACUUCCACUUUUACUUUGCUUUUUUACCUUUUUGCUUUCAGUUCUCACUUUGCAAACAAUCUAUAAGGGAUUGACAACCCCUUCAUAGCGUUGGGUGCAAGCUCUUUGUGUUUGUGCAGGUACUUGUGACUCGACGCGAUCCUCCCACUGGAUCGAUACCUUGGUUCUCAAACUGAGGGAAAUACUUACCGCCGCUGUGCUACAUCACCCUUUCCUCUUCAAGGGAACACCAACACAAGGCUCCAAGGCCGCGGGGAAAUCCUUUGCAUAUUUGCCAAGGAAGUCCCUAUAGGCGUAGCCAGUAGCAGCAGGAUUCCUGGCGCCGUUGUCAGGGAAGGUCUGUUGUCACAGUAGCAGAAGGAUUUCUAGAGCCGUUGCCGGGGAGGAGGAUCGCUUGCCGAGGAGUAUCAAGACAAGAAUAAUCUCCCGUCAACACGCCUAUUUCUAGCAUGGGGAAGGGAGAUCAAGUCAAGAUCUAUCAAAGUAGGUGUCACAAACUCAUCUCUUGCAUUUACUUUUUUUGCCAGUUGCCUCUCGUUUUCCUCUCCCCCACUUCACAUUUGCCGUUUUCAUUUGCCUUUCUCCUUUGCCGUUUUAUUUUUCCUUUUCUCCUUUGCCGUUUUCAUUUGCCUUUCUCCUUUGCCGUUUUCUUUUUUCCUUUUGCCGUUCUCUUUUGCCCGUUUCACUCACUUUCUUCCUGCUCGUUUGUGUGUGGGAUAGUCCAUCAAUGGCUAGACCCACCACUCCAAACGAUACCCCUGAGAACGAAGUUCUCAGUUUCAAGCAGAAUGAGGAAGAAAAUUUAAAGGACACUUGGUACAGGAUUUGCAAUGCUCAAAGUAGAUCUACUCGUAAGCAGUCCACUACCGUUCUUCUUCGCAGUUCUUAUGUUGGAAUCUCUCCUUGGAAUAGGUAUAUUCUUGAUACCAUCGUAGGCGGGAAUUUUUUGGGGAUCCAUACCGUUGACUCCUAUGGAGCUAUCAUGAAUUUGGUAGGCUCACCCCCGCUCAUGGUUAAUGGAACUACCUUGACCUUGGAACACGUGAUGCAAAGGCUUGACGCUAUUGAAAACAAAAUUGCCACAAUUGAAUUUAUUGAGGGUUUGGAUGGAAAGAUCCACAAUCAAAUUACUCAGUACGGAUCCAAAGUGGGAAUGGUUUUGAAAAAUUUAAGGGAGAAGGAACCUAUAGUUAAUGAUUCCUCUAGAAUUGGCAAACUAGAAGAUGUCAUAACCAACUUGGGUUGUGCUUUUGCCGCUGUGCAAAAUACUCCAAAUCUCACUCUCAAAAAGACCGUCAAGUCUGUUUUUGUUCCUAAAGCUAGUGGUGAGUCAUCCAAUAAAUAUGAAGACCUUAAGAUGAUAAAUGAUCACGCUACUUAUGGUUUGAGCACCAAAGAUGACUAUACGUGAUUCCAUCACCUUUUGCCUAGCUAAGGGCGUUAAACAAUAGCGCAUGUUGGGAGGCAACCCAACGAAUCUAUCAUUUUUCUUUCUAUUUUGUGUUUUCCACACUUUCAUAAUUCUGUUAUGAUUGUGUUUUUUGUGUUUCUUUUUGCGUUUGUGCCAAGUGAAACCGUUAUGAUUAAUCUUGGGGAUGAUCGUUUGGUCAUGCUGGAAAAGACAGAAACUUUCUGUUAACGAAAAGAAUUUUCAUUUUUUUUAUGUAAGAGAUUUUGAGUUGAUUCUUUUUUGCUUCUGAUUGCUACGCACAUUCUUCAGACUGUUGUAAUUUUUCAGAAUUUUGGAAGUACCAGAAGUAUACGAAGUAUACAGAUUGCUACAGACUGGUCUGCUGUUAACAGAUUCUGUUUUUGUUGAGUUGGUUGCUUAUUUUGAUGAAACUAUGGAUAGUACCGGGGGGUAUUAGCCAUGGAAGAUUGAAAAUACAGUAACCCAACAUCAACAUAAGUAGAAUUUAUUAAGUUUUCUACAGUACCUAAGGAAGUGGUGGUUUGCUUUCUUAUACUAAUGAUAUCACGAGUUUCUGUUUAAAUUUCGUGUUGUGAAGUUUUCAAGUUUUGGGUGAAGUUCUUAUGGACAAAGAGAUAAAGAGUGGCAAGAUCUCAAGCUUGGGGAUGCCCAAGGCACCCCAAGUUGAUUCAAGGAUGCCGUAAAAGCCUAAGCUUGGGGAUGCCCCGGGAAGGCAUCCCCUNNNNNNNNNNNNNNNNNNNNNNNNNNNNNNNNNNNNNNNNNNNNNNNNNNNNNNNNNNNNNNNNNNNNNNNNNNNNNNNNNNNNNNNNNNNNNNNNNNNNUUGAGGGCCAAGGCAGGAGAGCCACAGGGGGCCCACAAGCCCUGUAGCCGCCACCAGGGGGGCCGGCGGCUACCAGGCUUGUGCCCGCCUGGAGCUCCCCUGCCCUAGCUCUUUCGCCUAUAAAUUCCCUAAAAUCCCAGAAAAUAUUAGGGCAUCCACGAAAACACUUUUCCGCCGCCGCAAGCUUCCGUUUCCGCGAGAUCUCAUCUGGAGACCCUUCUCGGUGCCCUGCCGGAGGGGACUUUGGAGUUGGAGGGCUUCUACAUCAACAUCAUCGCCUCUCCAAUGACUCGUGAGUAGUCCACUUCAGACCUACGGGUUCGUAGUUAGUAGCUAGAUGGCUUCUUCUCUCUCUUGGAUCUUCAAUACAAAGUUCCCCAUGAUCUUCAUGGAGAUCUAUCCGAUGUAAUCCUCUUUGGCGGUGUGUUUGUCGAGAUCCGAUGAAUUGUGGAUUUGUGAUCAGAUUAUCUAUGAAUUAUAUUUGAGUCUUUGCUGAUUUCUUAUAUGCAAGAUUUGAUAUCCUUGUAAGUCUCUCCGAGUCUUGGGUUUUGUUUGGCCAACUAGAUCUAUGAUUCUUGCAAUGGGAGAAGUGCUUGGUUUUCGGUUCAUACCGUGUGGUGACCUUUCCCAGUGACACAAGGGGCAGCAAGGCACGCAUCAUGUUGUUGCCAUCAAGGGUAACAAGAUGGGCUUUUAUCAUAGAUAUGAGAUUGUCCAUCUACAUCAUGUCAUCUUGCUUAAGGCGUUACUCUGUGAUACGUCUCCAUCGUAUCAACUUUUCCAAACUCUUUUGCCCUUGUUUUGGACUCUAAUUUGCAUGAUUUGAAUGGAACUAACCCGCACUGACGCUGUUUUCAGCAGAAUUGCCAUGAUGUUGUUUUUGUGCAGAAAUGGAAGUUCUCAGAACGUCCUGAAAAAUUACGUNAUACGUCUCCAUCGUAUCAACUUUUCCAAACUCUUUUGCCCUUGUUUUGGACUCUAAUUUGCAUGAUUUGAAUGGAACUAACCCGCACUGACGCUGUUUUCAGCAGAAUUGCCAUGAUGUUGUUUUUGUGCAGAAAUGGAAGUUCUCAGAACGUCCUGAAAAAUUACGUAGAAUUUUUCUGGAAAAUAUGAAAAAUACGUGCGCAAAGAUCCAUCGGAGGGGAUGGGCCAGUGGGCCACAAGCCCUGUUGCCGCGGCCUCCCCCAUGGCCGCGGCGACCAAGCUUGUGGGGCCCACGUGGGUCUGCCGCCCCCAACUCCAGCUCUAUAAAUUCACUUUCUUUCCGAAAAAAGUCAGAAGAGAAGAUUUCAUCGCGUUUGCGAUACAGAGGCGCCGCCACAUCUUGUUCUUCAUCUGGAGGGCAGAUCUGGAGUCCGUUUUGGGCUCCGGAGAGGGGAAAUCGUCGCCAUCGUCAUCAUCAACCUUCUUCCCUCUCCAAUUCCAUGAAGCUCUUCAUCGUUCGUGAGUAAUCUAUUCGUAGGCUCGCUAGGCGGUGAUGAGUAGGAUGAGAUCUAUCUUGUAAUCGAGUUAGUUUUGACGGGGAUUGAUCCCUAGUAUCCACUAUGUUCUGAGAUUGAUGUUGCUACUACUUUGCCAUGCUUAAUACUUGUCACUAGGGUCCGAGUGCCUGAUUUCAGAUCUCAAAUUAUUAUGUUGUCACCAAUAUAUGUGUGUUUUAGAUCCGAUCUUGCAGGUUGUAGUUACCUACUAUGUGUUAUGACCCGACAACCCCGGAGUGACAAUAACCGGAACCACUCCCGGUGAUGACCGUAAUUUGAGGAGUUCAUGUGUUCACCAAGUGCUAAUGCGUUGUUCCGGUACUUUAUUAAAAGGAGAACCUUAAUAUCCCGUAGUAUCCUUUUGGACCCCGCUGCCACGGGAGGGAUGGACAAUAGAUGUCAUGCAAGUUCUUUUCCCUAAGCACGUAUGACUACACACGGAAUGCAUGCCUACAUCACAUUGACGAACGGGAGCUAGCCACAUAUCUCUCCGUGUUAUAACUGUUGCAUGAUGAAUGUCAUCCAAACGAAUCACCGACCCAUUGCCUACGGGUUUGUCCCACUGCUGCUGUUACUUGUUUUGCUCUGCUGCUAUUACUACUGUUGCUGCUACUGUUACUUGCUUUGCUCUGCUGCUGUCACCACUGUUGCUACUGUUGCUACUUGCUACUGCUAUUACUUGCUACUGUUGCUACUUGCUACUGCUAUCACUACUGCUGUUCCUUGCCACCGCUGAUACUCGUUACACUGCUACUACUUGCUAGAAUACCUUUUUUCUUGCGCCGUUGACGGGAAAGAAUAUUUUCCGUCCACGGUCAACUUCUGGCGCCAUUGAUAUGACCGUUAGGAAUAGUCUGCCAUCAACAAAUCGUUUCUGACACUGUUGUUAUCAUACUACUUUGUUGCUGAUACUUUGCUUGCAGAUACUAAUCUUUCAGGUGCGGUUGAAUCUGACACAUUCAGCUGCUAAUACUUGAGAGUAUCCUUUCACUUCCUGACGGGCGAACCAACAAAUUUGGGUUGAAUACUCUACCCUCGAAAACUGUCGUGAACCCAUGCGCUGGUGGGCCAUUGCAAGACAAUUGCUAAUUGUUGAGCAACUCGGAGCAAUUCUGGCUCUGUUGUCGCGAAGGCAUCAAUUCAGGGACACGUCAACAACAUUCUUCUAGUGUCGUUGCCGGGGACUGCCGUCAGCAGCAUUUUUUUGGCACCGUUGCCGGGGUAGGGAUUGCUAUAUUCUCUGAGUCACUUGGGAUUUAUAUCUGCUGAUCACUAUGAAGAAUCUGAAAGACCCAGAAACCAAAGUCUUGCCCUCAACUACGAGGGGAGGUAAGGAACUGCCAUCUAGCUCUGCACUUGAUUCACCUUCAGUUAUGAGUAAGUUUGCGACAUCACCUCCUUCUAGAAAUCUUGAUAUGUCGCCUGUGCUUGAUGAUGCUUAUGAUGCUACUGCUAGAGAUGCUAUGCCUGAUACUGCUAGAGAUGCUAUGCCUGAUACUGCUUUGCCUGAUGAUGCUAGAGAUGCUAUUUUGCCUGAUGAUGCUAUGCUUGAUACUGCUAGAGAUACUACUUUGCCUGAUGUGCCACUAGGGGUAUUCCUUGAUGCUCAUAUUGCUAGAGUUACUGCCAAUGCUCGUGAUGCUUCUGAAACUGCCGAUACUAUUGAGAUAGAACCUGCUUUUGCUCCUGCUAGAUCUAGCUCUCCUAGAUAUGAAUUGCCUGAUAUACUUGAGGGUUACGUUAUGGAGGGAGAGAUAGCUGAGGAUUUUCUUGCGUGUAAGGAUACCUAUGACACUGAGAAAUUACUUCUCAAGUGGAAGGAAAAAUCUCUGAAAGCUAGGAUGAAAUACGACCCGAAGUUUGCCACUUCACCUAUCUUUAUCACCGAUAAGGAUUAUGAAUUCGCCCUAUAGNNNNNNNNNNNNNNNNNNNNNNNNNNNNNNNNNNNNNNNNNNNNNNNNNNNNNNNNNNNNNNNNNNNNNNNNNNNNNNNNNNNNNNNNNNNNNNNNNNNNAGAGAAACUUACCUGCGCUCACCUGAAGCGGCCCAGCCCAUCAGGGGCACCACUGUCUUCUUCCUCCUCCCAGGAGGAGAAGCAGUUGCGUGCCCGACGCAUCGCCGGGCACCGCCACGUCCCCUAGCCACCUCCUGCUCGCCCCCGUCCUUAUCUCCUCGCCCGUGGAUGCCCCAGACCCCCCCUUGAGCUCAUCCUCCUCUCCUCUCUCUAGGUUCCCCUUCUCUCUCUCUGCUUUCCCUCGUUGCCUCCAUUGCCGAGCUAGAGCUCGAGCUCGCCUCUCUGGUCUCCGGCCUUCCCUCGCCUCUCCGAGAAGCCCAGAAGGACCGCCCCGAUGCCCUGCUCCUCCUCGCCAUUGGAAUCGAGCCCGGACGACCCCUGUCGUCGCCAUCGCCGUUGUCUUCCUCACCUCCGGCCACCGGCCCCCUUCCAUCGAUUCACCCCCUCCGACGCGACCCCGACCUCCCCGUCACCGCAAAUGGAACCGUCGUGAGCUCACCGUCAUUUCCCCUCUCUUUCCACGUUCUCCCGUGCCGUGUAGCCCCGCUCCCCGCCACGGCCGAACCCCGCCGCCGCUUAGGCUCGUCGCCGGCACCUCUCCGGCGACCUAGCCCCCCCUUCGAGCCCCCUGUGCGAUGUGGUCGAGCCUGGGCUACGCCCAAGUGCUCUCAGCGCUUGUUUCCGGCCCCUGUAGUGCCAUCUAGGCAACUCCGGCGAGCCCUCCGCCGCGGGCUUGGUCGCCAACGACCACCCUCCGGUGAGGGCCAACGUGGCCAGUCGUUAGCCAGUACUAACCCCCCCCCCCAGAGCCACUGCCAGAGGGCCCCACGCCUGGUCAAACCCCAAUUAGGGGCUGGUCAGCGCGGGGUUAGCCUCUGGGUCACUGACCAGUGGGCCCCACUGGUCAGGGUUUGACCUGGCCGGCCAGUUGAACUGCUGACGUCAGUACUGAUGCAAUAUUAGUAUUUCUGUUUAUAAAAUAAAUCCAGGAAAUUGCUAAAACUUGUAAAAAUCAUAGAAAUUAAAAUAUAACUCGGAUGAAAAUAAUUUAUAUAUGAAAAAGUAUCAGAAAAAUCCAAGGAAUCUGAUUAUGGCAUUUUCNNNNNNNNNNNNNNNNNNNNNNNNNNNNNNNNNNNNNNNNNNNNNNNNNNNNNNNNNNNNNNNNNNNNNNNNNNNNNNNNNNNNNNNNNNNNNNNNNNNNACUCACUAUAGGGCGGGCAACAUAUUUUAAAAACACCGACAACCGACCGACGGUAGACCGAAUACGGUGCCGCUACGGUCGACCGUUCGGGUACUAGACGGACUCCGAUUGCGAUGAAACUUGACACGCGGCCUACCUAUAUUAAAAUACGACCGCACGUCAAAUAUCAACCCAAUCAGAGAAGGUUUUAUGCACACUUUUAAAACAAGGUUUUGACGAUGCCGCGGGCGCGUGCGUGUGCGGUCGGGCUCAGAACGGACAACGACGAGAACCGGCAACAAACAACGGAUGCAAGUUUUGGAAACUGGCGGCAACGGAGAUGCCGAUGCAAUGCAGAUGAUGCGCAUGAUGCGAUGAUGAUGCAGCAAAAGAAAAUAGACACACGACGAAAACGGAAUAGAAGGGGAAUCUUCUGGAACGUCGGCCUCGGGCUGUCACAACUCUCCUACACUAUAAGAGGAUCUCGCCCCGAGAUCCAAGAAUGAAAGGAAGAGGGGAUAAGAAAGCAAGAGGUAAAACUUAAUCGCUUCUUUGACAAAUGAGUGAAACCAACAUCCUUGAAGGUUGCAAAGAGAUGAGGAAUGAUAAGAGAAACAAGCAAGAAUUCACGGAAAAUUUCGGCAGCACUUCGGUAGGAAAAUGGGACAAAAAAUUCGAUAAGAUAGGAGAAAUAGACAAUAUUCAUUACAAACAACUAAAUAGAACAAGGGAACACUAUGAUCUUGGUAGACCAACAUAAUAGACCCAAAAGAGCAACAUCACAAUGCCUCCGGAACAAUAGAAUAGGAACUAGCUCAUACGGAAGAAGAGAAUGAAGAGAGAAUGACAACUACUCACUCCAAUGAACUUGGCAAGCAUCCUUGCAAGAAGAAUUGGACGGAGUUGUUGGAAAACAACAGCGAAAGAACAAGAAAGUAGUGGGCUUAUGGAAACCUUUUCAAACUAAUGAAGUGACAACCAGCCACUAACAGAACAAGGAUUGAUUGGGAGAAACAAGAUAUGAACAAUUCCUUACACCAAGAGGAUACAUUGAGAACUUGGAUUAAUGACAAGCACCAUGAUAGCAACAAUCCAUAGGAAAAUCUUUAGGUGAAAUCCAAACCAAGAUAGCUCAAUGAAGAAAUCAUGGGUUGAAAACAUCUCAUGAUCAUAGAAUUGGUGGGUUUAAUUAUCUCAUUCUUGAAAGGAAAUCUCUUCGAAACUCCUACACUAACAAGAAUGCUAUAAUACCACCUCAAAGGAUAAAGGAGAACAAUUGCACAUAGAAAUGCAAGAGAAGAAAACUUGAGGUUCUCCAAUAAGAAUCUUGAAGAACACUUUGAGAAUGAAUUGACAUCAUGAGCCGCUCCGGAAGAAGAAUUCAGAUUACUAUGAACAAGAAUAAGAAUUAUGUUAUGCUUAUCCUUCAUCAAAUUAAGUUGAUGAGAAGCAACGGAUUUAGCAUACCACUUAUUCUUCUUGAAAGAACCUUGAAGAGAUAGAGAGAUAAGCACCACUUGAAGCACAAUUGAAUGAAGCACCGGCAAGAAUUCGAGCUCNNNNNNNNNNNNNNNNNNNNNNNNNNNNNNNNNNNNNNNNNNNNNNNNNNNNNNNNNNNNNNNNNNNNNNNNNNNNNNNNNNNNNNNNNNNNNNNNNNNNGAGAUUUGAAAACAAGCGGGGCAACUGGACUACGGGGUCAGAGGGGAUGACUGCUCCACCUAUACUAAGCAGAUUUAAAGUACAGGACUGAAAGUAGCAGUUCAUCAAAAAUAGGUUAUGCAUCAGAUAUAGGAGCUAACUACAACAGUAGCAAAAUACUAAUGCAAGCAGUAGGAAGAAAGACAUAGGCAAUAUAGGAAUGAUCAAGGGGGGGUUUGCUUGCCUUGCUGCUCUGCGGCAAAGGACUGAUCGGCAGGGUCAUAGAUGUACCCGGCAGCAGAGUCAGUCUCGGGGCCUACCGGUAAGAAGAGGGGGAAGAAACAAUAAAUAAUAGCAACGGUGUGUUGGAAUUAUGCCCUAGAGGCAAUAAUAAAUAUAGUUAUUAUUAUAAUUCAUGUAUCAAGAUAACCGUUUAUUAUCCAUGCUAUAAUUGUAUUGAAUGAAGACUUAUAUACAUGUGUGGAUACAUAGACAAAACACUGCCCCUAGCAAGCCUCUAGUUGGCUAGCCAGUUGAUCAAAGAUAGUCACUGUCUUCUGAUUAUGAACAAGGUGUUGUUGCUUGAUAACUGGAUCACGUCAUUAGGAGAAUCACGUGAUGGACUAGACCCAAACUAAUAGACGUAGCAUGUUGAUCGUGUCAUUUUGUUGCUACUGUUUUCUGCGUGUCAAGUAUUUGUUCCUAUGACCAUGAGAUCAUAUAACUCACUGACACCGGAGGAAUACUUUGUGAGUAUCAAACGUCGCAACGUAACUGGGUGACUAUAAAGAUGCUCUACAGGUAUCUCCGAAGGUGUUCGUUGAGUUAGUAUGGAUCGAGACUAGGAUUUGUCACUCCGUGUGACGGAGAGGUAUCUUGGGGCCCACUCGGUAAUACAACAUCACACACAAGCCUUGCAAGCAAUGUGACUUAAUGUAAGUUGCGGGAUCUUGUAUUACGGAACGAGUAAAGAGACUUGCCGAUAAACGAGAUUGAAAUAGGUAUACGGAUACUGACGAUCGAAUCUCGGGCAAGUAACAUACCGAAGGACAAAGGGAAUGACAUACGGGAUUAUAUGAAUCCUUGGCACUGAGGUUCAAACGAUAAGAUCUUCGUAGAAUAUGUAGGAUCCAAUAUGGGCAUCUAGGUCCCGCUAUUGGAUAUUGACCGAGGAGUCUCUCGGGUCAUGUCUACAUAGUUCUCGAACUCGCAGGGUCUGCACACUUAAGGUUCGACGUUGUUUUAUGCGUAUUUGAGUUAUAUGGUUGGUUACCGAAUGUUGUUCGGAGUCCCGAAUGAGAUCACGGACGUCACGAGGGUUUCCGGAAUGGUCCAGAAACGAAGAUUGAUAUAUAGGAUGACCUCAUUUGAUUACCGGAAGGUUUUCGGAGUUACCGGGAAUGUACCGGGAAUGACGAAUGGGUUCUGGGAGUUCACCGGGUGGCAACCCACCCCGGGGAAGCCCAUAGGCCUUGGGGGUGGCACACCAGCCCUUAGUGGGCUGGUGGGACAGCCCAAGAAGGCCCUAUACGCCAUGGGAAGAAAAUCAAAGAGAAAAGAAAAAAAAGGAGGAGGUNNNNNNNNNNNNNNNNNNNNNNNNNNNNNNNNNNNNNNNNNNNNNNNNNNNNNNNNNNNNNNNNNNNNNNNNNNNNNNNNNNNNNNNNNNNNNNNNNNNNUCAACAGCGGCUAAGCAUAUAUUUGGUGGCUAACUUACGAGUACAAGAAAUAAUAGGGAAGAUCUACGCAUAACGGACGUGAGCUACUGAUGAUCAAAAGAAUGAUCCUGAACACCUACCUACGUCAGACAUAACCCCACCGUGUCCUCGAUCGGAGCAGGGCUCACGAAAGAGACAGUCACGGUUACGCACACAGUUGGCAAGUUUUAAUUAAGUUAACUUCAAGUUAUCUAGAACCGGUGUUAAACAAAGCUUCCACGUUGCCACAUAACCGCGGGCACGGCUUUCCGAAAGAUUUAACCCUGCAGAGGUGCUCCAACUAGUCCAUCACAAAUUACCACAAGCCGCAUAGAAAUCCUCAAUCACGAAGCUCGCGAUCUCGUCGGAUUCCCUAGUGGAAAACCUCAACUGUGAGAUUACCCAAAGCAUCACCGGAAUCCCGAUGCACAAGAUAUCUCGUCAAAGGUAAAACUAAUCCAGCAAGGCCGCCCGACGUGUCGACGAUCCCGAUAUGAGUCGCGUACCUCGUUCUCAGGACACGACGGAUGAGCGAUGGUUACCACGCCAAACGCCGAGUUGCCCCGGGUAGCAUUAAUAAGCUGCUCUGUUUUGGACCAACACUCAUGAGGAGCACUGGCCCGGGGGUUUAUUAAAAUAGUCCGCGGGUGCCGGCGGGUCCCUAUGCAUUAUUAUUAGGUUAUUAGGCAAAUGUAGUACCAAAGUUGGGCCUUGCCAGACCAGCUUUAAUCUAAAACGAAUUAUCAAGGGGGUCCCCAUAACAACCCCGAUCGUGUUAGGAGCGCUCAAUUAUGGAACAUAACACCGGUAGCCGGAAACUAAGGGGGCAAAGGUGGAACAAAACACCAGGCUAGAAAGGCCGAGCCUUCCACCUUUUACCAAGUAUAUAGGUGCAUUAAAUUAAAUAGCAUUUAAAUAUGGUGAUAUAACAAGGAACCCAUGUAAUCACAUGGAAUCAACUGCACCUGCAACUAGCAACGCUAUCAACAGGGUUAAGCUAGCAGUAACAUAGCCAAUAAGUGGUUUGCUAGGUCGAACAGGUUGAAGGUUUCAUGGCAUUGUUGAGAGGCUAAUAUUUAACAUGUGGUAGGCAACGAGACAUAAACGGUAGCAACGGUAAAACUAGCAUGGCAAUGAUAGUAAUGGUAUCUGGGGAAAUGGUCAUCUUGCCUGAGAUCCCGCUUGGAAGAAGAACAUCUCUGUGAAGCAGGCGAACCAACGUAGUCGAACGGGUCCUCACAUUCCGACACGCUUGCGGAACUCUAUCGAGACGGAGCAAACCGGAAACAAAUAUCAACACAGAUAUUCACCACACGAUGCACAACAUGAUGCAUACCCUAAUAUGAUGCAUGAUCAAUUCAAUAUGCAAGGGAUGGCAUGGCAAAUCACCUCACGCAAACACUACACAUCAAUUGAAGCUCGAUAUGCAACGGGUUACAUACCGACGAAACUCCACGAUUAAUUAUUUAGUUCACUCCCGUUUAUUUACACGGCAACAUUAAAUGUUGUUAACAUGGCAAGGGGUGAAGCGAUGAUCCUACGUGUCAUCCUAGUCGGUUUAACUCGCGGAACAAGAGCGGAACUACGGCACGGGAGACAUGCAACACAAGAUCAUAUGCCAUGAAUGCGUCAUGCACGCAAGUUCAAACAUCACGGGCAAGAAGAGAAGGAAACAUGUGUCGCCACGGCAAGCGAGAGGGAACCAUGGCGGCAAGACGGAAACGAAGCCACGACAACGUUCCCAUCCCGAUACUCGUCGAGAUAUCGUGCCAACGAUCUGGAAGCGUGUGCGGGAUCACUAAAUAAGAAUGGGGUGAUCCCGUAUAUCGGGUUCCCAUGUGUCGAGGCACGACGAAAGAAGACAACGGGCAACGGGCCACAUACGGUGCAAACAUACAUUCAACUCAUACAACACAUGCAUACGGUUCUCGACGCGUACCAACGGUAUACNNNNNNNNNNNNNNNNNNNNNNNNNNNNNNNNNNNNNNNNNNNNNNNNNNNNNNNNNNNNNNNNNNNNNNNNNNNNNNNNNNNNNNNNNNNNNNNNNNNNNGUCGUGUGAUUAGAUUUAUUCGUUGCAUCGUCAUGUAGUUUGCAUCAUCGCAUCAUGCAUGGCAUCAUGUCAACUGUGUUUAGUCGGUGUCGCCUGCUGCUCCGUGUUGUUGGGUGAUAGUGCUUCAUGAGUGGCGUUGUUUUGUUGGAGUGAUGAAAGAGGGUGCGUGAGAGCCACCGCUAAGCCCUGUUGCACCGCGGACCUAAAACCUUCUCUCCCCUCUCAUUUCCUUUUUGUGGUUUGGCUAAAUACUUUAGUUUAGUUCCCUAUUUUAAAAAUUAAAGAUUCGUCUUCUUUUAAAGAAAAAACAUUUUAUUAAAUGUGGAGGCAACCCCUUGAGUUUUCUUCAUUUUCUCCUUUUGUUUUAUCUUUAAACAAUCUCAUUUUCUUAUCUCUUUUAAAGAACUUUUAUUUUACACUUUAAAUAAAAUAGGUUUAUUUUAUUCUUUUAAAAAAGGGUUUUGAUUUUUAAUUCUUUAAAAGGUUUCAUUUUACUCUUCGAAAAGGUUUCAUUUUUAUUUGUUUAAAGAGCCCGAUCUAUUUUUAUAGUUGGAGCAUGUUUUAAGGAGCCCAAAAGUAUUUUUGUUUUAGUAAAUUCCUUUUCUUCUGGUUGUGGGUUCCUCUUUUUUUUUUAAAAACCAGCUAUUUUAUUUUUUUGUGCAAGACAUUUUUUUAUUUUAGAAGGAGAGGACCCAGACCAAGGCCCAGCCGGCCAAGGCCCAGGCCCCCUCCAACCCUAGCGUCGUGCUGCGCCUCUCCCUCGUCACCCACAGCGCCGUCUCCUCCCGAUUCUCGUCUCCUCGUUCCCUGCUCCGCCCUGCCGCCUCCAGGUCCCCUUGCCUCGCCGUGGCCACCUCCCUCGCCCUCUCUUCUCCCCUCUACGCGCCGCCAGCCCCAGGCCCGAGCCGCACCGCCCUGCCAGCGCCGAGCCCCCUGCUCGCCGGCCUCCCCUGGUCCUCCUCGCCAUGCGGUCUCCCGCGCGCAGCCGUCCAUCUGCACGUCGAGCCGCCUCUCUGCUCCCCGUCCCCUGCGCCCGCAUCGCCGCCGGUGCCCGACCUGCGCGCCGCCCUCGCCCCCGAGUUCCCCGCGUGCUCGCCCUCGGCCUCGAGCUCGCCGCCCCGGUCGCAGCCUCCCUGCCAUGGCGACCUCGCCGUUCCCCGCGUCGCCCCUCNNNNNNNNNNNNNNNNNNNNNNNNNNNNNNNNNNNNNNNNNNNNNNNNNNNNNNNNNNNNNNNNNNNNNNNNNNNNNNNNNNNNNNNNNNNNNNNNNNNNGACUCACGGGAAGAUAUCACAACACAACUCUAGACACAAAUAAAAUAACAUCAGCUUCAUAUUACAAGCCAGGGGCCUCGAGGGCUAGAAUACGAAAGCUCGAUAAACACACGAGUCAGCGGAAGCAACAAAAUCUGAGUACAGACAUAAAACAUGGGGUGCCUUAGAGAAGGCUAGCACAAAAGAUACAACGAUCGAAUGAGGCGAGGCCUCCUACCUGGGAACCUCCUAACUACUCCUGAUCAUCAGCGGCCUCCACGUAGUAGUAGGCACCGUCGGGGUAGGAGUCGUCGUCGGCGGGAACCUCCAUCUCCUGGGCUCCAUCAUCUGGUCGCAGCAACGGAUCGAGGGGACAAGAGGGGGAGCAAAGCAGAAGUGAGUACUCAUCCAAAGUACUCGCAAGUCUUACAUCAGAACUAUUAUAAUUAUGCAUCAGUAUCAAAGAAGGGGGGGCUAUAUGUGGACUGACUGCAGCAAUGCGAGAAUAAAGAGAGAAGGCCUAGUCCUAUCGAAGACUAGCAUCUUCAGGGUCUUGCAGCAAUAGACGAGAGUAGAACAGGGGUAACACAUUAAAAGUCAUAUUGUUGCAGCAAUAUUAAAGUGAGGUCAUGCCUAAAGAUCCUCCCUCGACUCCCUGCGAGGAAGCAAUCCCGAGGCAAACUAAUUCCAGUUAAGUAACAAUUGUAGUUGUAUAAGAUCGGGGCACAACUCCAAGUCGUCCUNNNNNNNNNNNNNNNNNNNNNNNNNNNNNNNNNNNNNNNNNNNNNNNNNNNNNNNNNNNNNNNNNNNNNNNNNNNNNNNNNNNNNNNNNNNNNNNNNNNNAGUUGCUACUCAUGCUAAGUGGUUUCAACUAUUUACUGUGACAAAAUCAGGUCAUGCAAAGGAAUGGGUUCAACUACCGAUAACAUGUACAGUUGAAUCGUGUUUGUCCUAACGCAGUAAAAGAGAGCAGGAGCGAGAGAGUGGGUUUAUUUCAAUAUGCUCAAGGGGGUUUGCUUGCCUGACACGUCUGAAGAUAGCAAUGAGUCUUCAUCAAUGUCAACGAUCACAUCGUCGGAAACAUCGUUUACCGAGAGGGAACAACACCGGCAAACAAGAAGGAACAACAAUUACUUCACAGAAAUGCAACACUAUGAUGCAUGCUCAAGACAUGAAAUGAAAGGUGGCAGGCCUAAUGUGGCUAUCAUUACUUAAAUUGAAGUUGGUUUGAAUUAGGAUCCAAACAUCACUUCAAGCCGGUUAUUUUUCCGGAUACCCUUUUAAUUGAUUCAACCUGAAGCUCAAAACAAAUUGUUCCAACAUGUAUGGAGUUAGUAUCUUGAGGUACUGAUUUGCAUUGACCCUUGUUUGGUCAUAACAAUUGAAGUGAAAAUCAAAUAAGUAUCAAUUUCCAACUCCAAACUAUUUAUUAAAUUUACCCUAUUCAUCAUUUUGCCUAUUUAGUGUUGUUAACUUUUUCAAACAUGCAUGAAAAUGCCAUAAUCAGAUUCCUUGGAUUUUUCUGAUACUUUUUCAUAUAUAAAUUAUUUUCAUCCGAGUUAUAUUUUAAUUUCUAUGAUUUUUACAAGUUUUAGCAAUUUCCUGGAUUUAUUUUAUAAACAGAAAUACUAAUAUUGCAUCAGUACUGACGUCAGCAGGUCAACUGGCCGGCCAGGUCAAACCCUGACCAGUGGGGCCCACUGGUCAGUGACCCAGAGGCUAACCCCGCGCUGACCAGCCCCUAAUUGGGGUUUGACCAGGCGUGGGGCCCUCUGGCAGUGGCUCUGGGGGGGGGGGUUAGUACUGGCUAACGACUGGCCACGUUGGCCCUCACCGGAGGGUGGUCGUUGGCGACCAAGCCCGCGGCGGAGGGCUCGCCGGAGUUGCCUAGAUGGCACUACAGGGGCCGGAAACAAGCGCUGAGAGCACUUGGGCGUAGCCCAGGCUCGACCACAUCGCACAGGGGGCUCGAAGGGGGGGCUAGGUCGCCGGAGAGGCGCCGGCGACGAGCCUAAGCGGCGACGGGGUUCGGCCGUGGCGGGGAGCGGGGCUACGGGGCAUGGGAGAACGUGGAAAUAGAGGGGAAAUGACGGCGAGCUCACGACGGUUCCAUUUGCGGUGACGGGGAGGUCGGGAUCGCGUCGGAGGGGUUGAAUCGAUGGAAGGGGGCCGGUGGCCGGAGGUGAGGAAGACAAUGGCGAUGGCGACGACAGGGGUCAUCCGGGCUCGAUUCCAAUGGCGAGGAGGAGCAGGGCAUCGGGGCGGUCCUUCUGGGCUUCUCGGAGAGGCGAGGGAAGGCCGGAGACCAGAGAGGCGAGCUCGAGCUCUAGCUCGGCAAUGGAGGCAACGAGGGAAAGCAGAGAGAGAGAAGGGGAACCUAGAGAGAGGAGAGGAGGAUGAGCUCAAGGGGGGGUCUGGGGCAUCCACGGGCGAGGAGAUAAGGACGGGGGCGAGCAGGAGGUGGCUAGGGGACGUGGCGGUGCCCGGCGAUGCGUCGGGCACGCAACUGCUUCUCCUCCUGGCAGGAGGAAGAAUACAGUGGUGCCCCUGAUGGGCUGGGCCGCUUCAGGUGAGCGCAGGUAAGUUUCUCUCUCUCUCUUUUCCUAUUUUUCUUUUAUUUUCUUUCUGGCAUUUAGAUUUAGGAUUUUAAUAAAACAUUUAAUCAUUUUAUAAAACCCUAAAAUAGUAUUAUGUGACAGUAGUAAAAAUAAUCAAUGCCACAAANNNNNNNNNNNNNNNNNNNNNNNNNNNNNNNNNNNNNNNNNNNNNNNNNNNNNNNNNNNNNNNNNNNNNNNNNNNNNNNNNNNNNNNNNNNNNNNNNNNNAUUGAAUUCUUGGUUCUUGGUUAACUUUUCUGUGUGUGGGUUCUUAAGCUUAUGGUCUGUUGGGGAACAUUGCUGAGAAACAAAAAAUUUCCUACGCACACGCAAUACCUAUCCAUGGUGAUGAUCAUCUACCAGAGGGGAGAGUGAAUCUACAUACCCUUGUAGAUCGCUAAGUGGAAGCAUAUAUAACGCGUUUGAUGUAGUGGAACAUCUCCGCGAUUCAAAUCACAGCGUGUCCCGUGAUCUCAUCACGAUCCAUCCCGAUCUAGUGCCGAACGAACGACACCUCCGCGUUCAGCACACAUACAACUCGAUGACAAUCCCCACCUUGUUGAUCCAGCAAGAGGGGUGGAGAGGUAGAUGAGUUAUCCAACACGGAGGAAUGGUGGUGGUGAUGGUGGAUCUAUUCCAGCAGGGCUUCGCCUAAGCGUUGCUGAAAAACCGAUCUAGAGGAAGAACAAAUCUAGAGAGAAGUAGAGGGAGCAUGUGGCAAUUAGGGUUAGCCCUCACCUUUAAAACCUCUAGUAUAUAUAGGAGGGAGGGAGGGGAUGAGGCAGCCUCAAACCCUCAAGGUUUGGCCGAAAUUGGAGGUGCAGAAGUCCUACUCCAAUCCCACCAAGGGUAGGAUUCCCCUUCUCCACUUGGAAACCCUUUCCACCUUUUCCACCUUUGGGUUUCUUUCCUUCCCACCUCCAAUCCGCCUUGGGCUUUAUGGAGGCUUCGUACAGCCCACUAAGGCCUGGUCCAGAUCCUCCCACAGCCCAUGAGACCCUUUGGGGUGGGUGGGCCCACCUGGUGGACCCCAGAAACCCAUUCGUCACUCCCGGUACACUACCGAAAAUGUCUGAAACUUUUCCGGAGUUCAAAAACCACUUUCCUAUAUAUCAAGAUUUACCUCCGGACCAUUUCGGAGCUCGUCGUGAUGUCCAGGAUCUCAUCUGGGACUCCGAAAAACCUUCGGUUACCAACACCUAUAACUCAACUAUACCGAAACGUCACCGAACCUUCAGUGUGCAGACCCUGCGGGUUCGAAAACUAUGCAUACAUGACCUAAGACACUCCCCAGUCAAUAACUGAUGACCCUCAAGUAUAGGGGACCUAUCGUAGUCCUUUCGACAAGUAAGAGUGUCGAACCCAACGAGGAGCAGAAGGAUCCGACAAGUGGUUUUCAACAAGGUAAUAUAUGCAAGCACUGAAAUUGUCGGUAACAAGUAGUUGUGUGGUGAGAUGAUUCGUAGCAAGCAACAAGUAACAAAAGUAGCAAUGGUGCAGCAAAGUGGCCCAAUCCCUUUUGUACAAGGGACAAGCCUGGACAAACUCUUAUAGGAGGAAAAACACUCCCGUGGACACACGGGAAUUUCUGUCAUGCUAGUUUUCAUCAUGUUCAUAUNNNNNNNNNNNNNNNNNNNNNNNNNNNNNNNNNNNNNNNNNNNNNNNNNNNNNNNNNNNNNNNNNNNNNNNNNNNNNNNNNNNNNNNNNNNNNNNNNNNNNNNNNNNNNNNNNNNNNNNNNNNNNNNNNNNNNNNNNNNNNNNNNNNNNNNNNNNNNNNNNNNNNNNNNNNNNNNNNNNNNNNNNNNNNNNNNNNNNNNNNNNNNNNNNNNNNNNNNNNNNNNNNNNNNNNNNNNNNNNNNNNNNNNNNNNNNNNNNNNNNNNNNNNNNNNNNNNNNNNNNNNNNNNNNNNNNNNNNNNNNNNNNNNNNNNNNNNNNNNNNNNNNNNNNNNNNNNNNNNNNNNNNNNNNNNNNNNNNNNNNNNNNNNNNNNNNNNNNNNNNNGAUCUGAACAUAAACUCUUCCACCAAGUAAUCCAACUAGCAUCAACUACAAAGAGUAAUUAACACUACUAGCAACCUUACAAGUACCAAUAGGAGUCGCGAGAUGGAGAUUGGUUACAAGAGAUGAACUAGGGUUUGGAGAUGAGAUGUUGCUGAUGAAGAUGUUGAUGGUGAUGAGUCCCCUCCGAUGAGAGGAGUGUUGGUGAUGACGAUGGCGACGAUUUCCUCCUCCGGGAGGGAAGUUUCCCCGACAGGAUCGUCCUGCCGGAGCUCUAGAUUGGUUCUGCUCAAGUUCCGCCUCGUGGUGGCGGCGAAUCCUCCGAAAAGCCUCUUCGUGAUUUUUUCCAGACCGAAACCCUUCUUGUAGCAAAAGAGGGGGGCAAGUGGGCUAGCAGGGAGCCCACAAGCCCCCUAGGCGCGGCCAGGGGGGUGGCCGCGCCUAGCAGGCUUGUGGCCACUUGCUGGCGCCCCUGUGGCACUUCUUCGGCCCAGUAUUUUUUAUAAAUCCCAAAAAAAACCAUGUUGAUUUUCGGCUUUUGGAGUUGCGCAGAAUAGGCAUAUCAAACUUGCUCAUUUUUAGGCCAGAAUUCCAGCUGCCGGCAUUCUCCCUCUUCAUGUAAACCUUGCAAAAUAAGAGAGAAAAGGAAUAAGUAUUGUACCGUGAAGUGAAAUAACAGCCCAAAAAGCGAUAAAUAUCAACAUGAAAGCGUGAUGCAAAAUGGACGUAUCAACUCCCCCAAGCUUAGACCUCGCUUGUCCUCAAGCAAAAGCCUAGAUCAAUAAACAUGCCCACAUGUUUAGGGAGAGAGGUGUCGACAAAACAAGAUACGAACAUGCGGGCAUCAUGAUCAUGAUCAGAACAGCAAUACCAUCAUAUCAUCUCUUAUGCUAAAGUGACAAUUCAUUCACAAAGUAAAGUAUGGAUCAAGAACCUUACUGAGAAUUAACAACCGAUGGCCUUUAGUCAUUGAAGCAAUUGCAAUUUAUCACAACAUCAGAAAGAGUCAAAUAAGAGCUUGUAAAGCAAUCCACAUACUCAAUCAUCCUUUCGUUCUCUACAAUUGCUACAACUCACGUGGUACUCAUGAGAUCAAAGUUUCAGUUGGACACACAGAAAGAUAGGGGCUUAUAGUUUUGCCUCCCAACUGCUUACCUCAAGGGUAAUGUCAACAAUAAUAAUUCAUGAAUACUUACUUCCAAGUUGACAUAUGAAUAUAGAUCUUUCCCUAGCAUAUGACGUUAGCCAAGAUAAAGGAGAAAUAAGGAAUUGGUGAAGAUCACCAUGACUCUUUCAAGGGCAAAAAGUAAAGGUACAAGAUAGGCCCUUCGCAGAGGGAAGCAGAGGUUGUCAUGCGCUUUUGAGGUUUGGAUGUGUGUCCUCUUAGUGCGGAGGAACGUCACUUUAUAUUGCCUCCUGUGAUAAAGAACUUUAUUAUGCAGUCUGUCGCUUUUAUGUCUUCCUCAUCACAGGUUCGUACAAAGCUUAUUUCCACACACUAAUAGAUCAUACAUAUUUGGGAGCAAUUUUUAUUUCUUGCACCGAUGACAACUUACUUGAAGGAUCUUAUUCAAUCCAUAGGAAGGUAUGGUGGACUCUCAUGGCAAAACUGGGUUGAAGGUUUAUGGAUGCACAAGUAGUAUCUCUACUUGGUGCGGGAGUUUUGGCUAAUAUGAGGUGGAAGCAAUCGUCACAUGCUAAGGGAUCUCUAAUCAUAUAACAUUGUUCAGAACCAAGCAAACACAAUUCAUUAUGUUGUCUUCCUUGGACAACAUCUACUUCUAAGCAUGCAAUAGUUUAGUGAGUGUCCACAAUCAUAGAUGGUGUCAAAGAUGAGAUAUUUAUAUGUGAACCUCUCCUUCUUUAUCACUUCCUUUUAAUUGCAACAAUGACCAAGGUCUACGUUUGUCUACCCUCAACAAGUUUCAAUCAUCAUUCUUUUUAUAUGUGGAGCCAUCACUUCCCAUAAGAUCAUUACAUGAUCUUUCAUGCUUUUGUUCUUUUCUCAUCCUUUUGAUCAUGACAAGAGACAAAGCCCUUAACCAAGACACUCUUUAUUAUAUGGCUCACGAGCUCGAAUACAUCAGGGGUGACACAAAGCAAAACUCAAGCCUAAAACACUAAGACUUUUAUUCUACUAGAGAAAGAGAAAACUUAAAAGGAACAAACUAAAACAAAGGUAAAGGCAAAAGAGGUGAUGGUGAUACGAUUCCGGGGCAACUCCCCCAAGCUUGGCACAAGCCAACGGGAUUGCCCAUACCCAUGCUCAGUUGUCUUUCUUUGGAGGUGAUGGUGGUGGAGUUGUUGCAAUCUUUGAUUCCAAGAGGGCCAUUAAUCUUUAAUUUAUACCUUGGAGAUCUGUGAUAUGUUCCUCCAGCAAAACAACUUCACGAGCGAGAUAAGUAUUGCGAGCAUGAGUUGUUUCACAAGACCUCAAGAGUUCAAUCAAGGAUGGAGACAGUAGGUGGAAGUAGGGUUGGAGGAAAUCCACUUCUUCAACUUCUUCCUUGUUGAGCACAGAUUGCACUUCAUCCCACGCCUGAUUCUUCUCCUUAGUUUUGCCCUUGGUUUCUUUAGCUAGCCUUUACUUAGCCUCCAUGACCUCCAUCCUUUUUAGAUCAACACUUACUUCUCCAUAAACUUGAGGGAGAUUGUUCUCCCCCACAGAUUCCUGAGACAACAUCUUGCUCUAAAUUUGCGACAGAAAACAGGCUCGAAAUGAAAACAGAGGAAAUCUGCAUGAUACAAGGGUCAGACCUUUCGGGAGAUUAUAUAAUGAUUCUUUUCAGACCAGAAAGAGUACUCCGCACGAAAAUGGAGUCCGGGAGGCACACAAGGUGGCCAGAAGCCCCCCCAGGCGCGGCCAGGGGGUGGGCCCGCGCCUGGCAGGCUUGUCGCCUCCUCGCACGCUUUCCGGACUACUUCCAAUUUUUCUAUUUUUUCAAAUAUUCCAAAACGGAGAAAAAAAUCCUACUGGAAAAGUUUUGGAGUCUGUUUUCUUACCGAAUCACAUACCUCUUCGUUUUUGGAGUCUCGAACAGGCUGAUAAAUAUCCCUUAGGUAUUCUUCCGGAGUUCUGGUAUUGAUAAUAUUGCUUUCAACAUUAAUGGGAGUACGUGAGAUAUAAUGCUUGAUUCUCUGUCCAUUUACCACUCUCGGACAAUCACCUUCCAUGUUGUUGAUCUUGAUAGCACCGGAACGAUAUACUUCCUCAACAAUAUAGGGAUCUUACCAUUUAGAGAGAAGCUUGCCUGCAAAAAAGUCUUAAACGAGAAUUAUAUAGCAAGACAUAAUCACCUACAUUGAACUCACACUUUUGUAUCCUCUUAUCAUGCCACCUCUUAACCUUUUCUUUGAACAACUUGGCAUUCUCAUAUGCCUGAGUUCUCCAUUCAUCAAGCGAGCUAAUGUCAAAUAACCUCUUCUCACCAGCAAGUUUGAAAUCAAAGUUGAGCUCUUUGAUUGCCCAAUAAGUUUUAUGCUCUAGCUCAAGAGGUAAAUGACAUGCUUUACCGUACACCAUUUUGUACGGAGACAUGCCCAUGGGAUUCUUAUAGGAAGUUCUAUAAGCCCGCAGUGCAUCAUCGAGCUUCUUAGACCAAUUCUUUCUAGACCUGUUGACAGUAUUUUGCAGAAUCAGUUUAAUCUCUCUAUUGCUUAGCUCUGCUUGACCACUGGACUGAGGGUGAUAGGGAGACGCAAUUCUAUGGUUGACAUCGUACUUAGCAAGCGUUUUACGGAAAGCACCAUGAAUGAAAUGUGAACCACCGUCGGUCAUUAGAUAUCUAGGGACUCCAAAUCAAGGGAAAAUAACUUCUUUAAGCAUCCUGAUAGAGGUGUUGUGAUCAACACUACUAGUGGGGAUAGCUUCUACCCACUUAGUGACGUAGUCAACAGCAACUAGGAUAUGAGUAUACCCGUUGGAUUUUGGAAAAGGUCCCAUAUAAUCAAAGCCCCAAACAUCAAAUGGUUCAAUGACAAGUGAAUAGUUCAUAGGCAUGUCCUGACGUUUACUGGUAUUACCUAUUCUUUGACAUUCGUCACAAGACAAGACAAAUUUACGAGCAUCCUUGAAGAGAGUGGGCCAAUAGAAACCUGAUUGCAAUACCUUGUGUGCAGUUCUAUCUCCCGCAUGGUGUCCUCCGUAGGCCUUGGAGUGACACUUCUGUAGGAUUUGUCCCUGUUUAUGUUCAGGUACACAACGUCUAAUAACACCAUCUACUCCUUCCUUAUAAAGGUGAGGAUCAUCCCAAAAGUAAUGUCUCAAGUCAAAGAAGAAUUUCUUCUUUUGCUGGUAUGUGAAACUAGGUGGUAUAUAUUUGGCAACGAUAUAGUUUGCAUAAUAAGCAUACCACGGUGCACUACGUGAAGCAUUGAUGACACUCAAUUGCUCACCGGGAAAGCUAUCAUCAAUAGGUUGUGGGUCAUCAAGAAUGGUCUCCAACCUAGACAAGUUAUCUGCUACUGGGUUAUCAGCACAAAACAAAACAAAAGAAAAAGAGGAAAUUAGAAAGAGGAAAUAAUAGANUUCAACAUGAAAGUUGAUCAGCACAACGAGACGAACCCGGAUACACGGUCCAUUCGUGUGUCACGCGUCCCUAGCAUAGCAAACAUGGAACAUUUCCAUCGUUUCUAGUAUGACCGGUAGUAGCCCGAGACCCGAAAAAUAUUGUCAGAUAUUCUUCCGACCCGUCUAUGACGGAUGUUGCUGCGUUAGCUCAUGUCUAGCCUACAUCUUGCCAUGUCAUGCUUUGUGUUGCACCAUUGCUAUUAUUUAUUGUUUCUUCCCCCUCUUCUUACCGGUAGACCCCGAGACUGACGCUGCUGCUGGGUACAUCUACGACCCUGCCGAUCAGUCCUUUGCCGCAGAGCAGCAAGGCAAGCAAACCCCCCUUGAUCAUUCCUAUAUUGCCUAUGUCUUUCUUCCUACUGCUUGCAUUAGUAUUUUGCUAUUGUUGUAGUUAGCUCCUAUAUCUGAUGCAUAGCCUAUUUUUGAUGAACUGCUACUUUCAGUCCUGUACUUUAAAUCUGCUUAGUAUAGGUGGAGCAGUCAUCCCCUCUGACCCCGUAGUCCAGUUGCCCCGCUUGUUUUCAAAUCUCGAUCUCUGAUCGACGAGCCAGACCUGACACAACACUUACACCCCCUUCGUUGUACGAUGCUACAAGGAUACUAUCGGGUACCGAGGGUGACACCUCGCUAAGUACUCCUGAUGAUAUCUCUGUAGUAUAGCUAGUCGGUCGUGGUUAUCGAGGGUGAUUCCUCUUUCACCAUUCCCAAUGAUGCCUCUGUCGUGCAACCCCUCAAGUGUGGGACCCCCAAGGGUGAUUCCUCUAAGCCCACCUUGACGGGUACAUCAUUCGGAAUCCAACUAGGGUGAUACCUCGGAUCCCCCCCGAUGUUACAACCACACAGUUACUCGACCAUGUUACUGGGAUCGUUGAUGUUUAGUUGUAAGACGGGUGGAUUCCCGUGAGACUGUGUUGUUGGCCUAAUUAAAAUGUUAAUGGAUUUGGGUAUUUGAUCUGGGUUGGUUGGAGACCUUUUCGCACUAACCUGCUACGUGGGAAGAAUUAUGGGUACUCGGCGUCACGGUAUCAGCCGAAGCUUUUCAGAUGUCAGCAAUCGUAGUGGCGCAUGCCCGAGUGGUCUCGAGAUGCAUUGCGCUUGUGAUUAAGGGAUGCUAGGACUGACGUUGGCCGCCCUCGCAUCGUGCAGGAGCGCGGAGGGGAACUGGGCCCAUGAACCCUUUGCGCUUAGGAUUUAGACCGGCGGGCUGACCUCUCUGAUUAGUCUUAGGUGGGGCUGCGACGUGUCGAUAUUCCGAGGCCGGGCAGGACCCAGAAAAGUAUGUCCGGCCAGAGUGUUAUCGAGCGUGACAGGACAUGUGGUGCACCCCUGCAGGGAUGAAAAUUAACUAUUCGGAUAGUCGUGUCCACGGUUAUAGGACGACUUGGAGUUGUGCCCCGAUCUUAUACAACUACAAUUGUUACUUAACUGGAAUUAGUUUGCCUCGGGAUUGCUUCCUCGCACGGAGUCGAGGGAGGAUCUUUAGGCAUGACCUCACUUUAAUAUUGCUGCAACAAUAUGACUUUUAAUGUGUUACCCCUGUUCUACUCUCGUCUAUUGCUGCAAGACCCUGAAGAUGCUAGUCUUCGAUAGGACUAGGCCUUCUCUCUUUAUUCUCGCAUUGCUGCAGUCAGUCCACAUAUAGCCCCCCCUUCUUUGAUACUGAUGCAUAAUUAUAAUAGUUCUGAUGUAAGACUUGCGAGUACUUUGGAUGAGUACUCACUUCUGCUUUGCUCCCCCUCUUGUCCCCUCGAUCCGUUGCUGCGACCAGAUGAUGGAGCCCAGCAGAUGGAGGUCCCCGCCGCCGACGACUCCUACCCCGACGGUGCGUACUACUACGUGGAGGCCGCUGAUGAUCAGGAGUAGUUAGGAGGUUCCCAGGCAGGAGGCCUCGCCUCGUUCGAUCGUUGUAUCUUUUGUGCUAGCCUUCUCUAAGGCACCCCAUGUUUUAUGUCUGUACUCAGAUUUUGUUGCUUCCGCUGACUCGUGUGUUUAUCGAGCUUUCGUAUUCUAGCCCUCGAGGCCCCUGGCUUGUAAUAUGAAGCUGAUGUUAUUUUAUUUGUGUCUAGAGUUGUGUUGUGAUAUCUUCCCGUGAGUCUUUGGGUUUGAUCGUACACAUUUGCGUAUAUGAUUAGCAUAUGAUUAAAUCGAGGGCGUCACAAGUUGGUAUCAGAGCCGACUGCCUCUAGGUAGCCCCCUUUCCAACUCCUUGGCCGAAGUUUAGUCCAGUGUUUGAAAUACUUUACUAACACUGAUGUUGUGCCUUACGGGCCCACAUCUCAAUUGGGUGGUAUUAGUAUCUUUUACUCCUUCCUAUACUCUGGGUUCUACUCUCUCUUCUCUUUCGGGUCAAAGAUUUUACUAACUCUAACAUUAGGUUCUCGAAUCACAUCGACCCGGAGCGCUGGACUAUCUACUCUUUCUCCUGAAUAUAUAUUACACACACUGUCUUUUGACAUCCGUCAAUCUUAUUUUCAGAUGCGUCCUGCAAGACAGCACGUGCGCCUGACACAGGCCAAUGAGACGACUGGGUUCCCGGCCAUUUUGGUCGACCUCCUGACCAGGCUGGGAUAUCGCUGGUACCCCGAGUACACUGUGUUCGAGGAUUUCCGCGAGUACAACCAGUACCAGUACCAGGAUGAGGUUCGCAUCUUCGACCAGAGGGGAGGCAAGACCCUCGAGCGCCACGUCUUCUGUGGUAUUGGAGUGUCGGUCGAGAUGGCCGUCCAUGAUGUGGCCUACAUCGCCAUCACCUGUCUCCAUGGAGCGUACCCUCACCUGGAGGAGAGCCCUUUCAGAUACAUCCCGCAUGCUCCUGCUUGGGAUGAGACUGGGUCUGAUCUCACUGCCUACGCUUCUGAAGUUCGGGAGCGCAUCGACCGUUCCUACGUCGCUGUCUGCGCCCCCUACGUGACGCGUCGCUACGACGCACGGUUUCUGGUGCAGUACACUCAGGCAAUGGAUCGUGCUUUCCGAGCUCUAACUGUGGAGCUGUAUGCUACGCGCGCUCGUCUUUACGACGCGUUGACAGAGCUGCAACCAUCACACUGCCCGAGGGUUCCCCCCUAUGCGCAUCCGCGAGCCGAGCAGGACAGAGCUACCAUCAGCUCUCGAGUGGACUGAUGUUGGGGGUAGAAACCCUGCACUUGGACCUCAGCUCCUCGACUGGAUGCGGUACCCUCACCAGAGUCACAACGGGACACAGGGUCCUGUUACUACCUUCUAUCACCGCCAGCUACCAGGAUUCGAUCGUCCUCUCCGACGUUGAUGUAGCCUUAUCGCUACAUCUUGUUGUGGUACUCUUCCACCGCGUGCCUGCGCGCCGCCUAGUGAGUCCAGGGUAUCGUCUAAUGCGUCUGGGCUAUCGCAAAAUUUCGAAUUUGUAAUCGUUAGUCUGUACUCGAACUUAUGUGUGGGUCUGUAUGUCGAACUCAACUACUAUGGAGUAACUAUCGCAUUUCCCUUUCAUUAUGCUUGAUUACUUCGUGAAUGUGUGCGAUGCCUUUGCAAUUACUUUAAGCUAAACUACCCCUGUUAAAUAUUUAACAGGAUGGUUAGACCAGCUGGCCGCCCGCGUGCCCCUGCCAACGAUGCACCACCCCCGCCUCCUGAGUAUAUGGCGGGGAUGAUCCAACAGUUUGAGCUGAACCGUCAGUUUAUGCAAGGGCUCAUGGAUCAGUUCCAAAGGCCGAACAUGAACCAACCACAAGGCGUGACACUGCAAGACUUCUGCCGCCUCAACCCUGCGAUCUACCGCAGCUCAACUCAGCCUCUUGAUGCCGAUGACUGGCUCCGUGACAUUUCUUAUGAGCUGGAGUGUGCCAAUGUGCCCCAGGCGAGCUAUGUCAACUUUGCCGCCUACUUUCUGAAGGGUCCCGCUGCUCAAUGGUGGGACAGCCACAGGCGCUCUCAGCCCGAUGGAACUAUCAUCACUUGGGCAGAGUUCAAGGCUCCUUUCCGUGCUCGCUACAUUCCCUAGGGAAUCAUGGACUAGAAGAAGCGUGAGUUCCGCAACUUGGUCCAGGGCAACAAGACUGUGGAUGCUUAUCAGCGGGAAUUUCUCGACUUAUCUCGCUAUGCUGAAGAAGACAUUGCAACUGAUGCACGCAGGCAGGAGAAGUUCCGUGAAGGCCUCCACCCUGAUAUCAAGCUGACACUCCUCGUUCAGGACUAUGCUGAUUUCGCCACCCUGGUGAACAAGGCUAUUCAGGUUGAGACUGGUCUGCAGGAAUACAAAGAUAGCAGCAAGCGCAACCGUGACAUGGGCUCAUCUUCGGGCUCAUGUGCACAGAAGCGAAAGAUCUGGAUUCCCAACAACAUGUACCAUGCACCUGCUCCUGCUCCGAGGCUGUCCUAUGCUGCACCUCGCCUACCUCCUCCACCACCUAGGCAGCCGAGGCUUCCAGCUCCACCGCCUCGAGUUCCUCCUUCCCGUCCUGAGGACGGGCUGUGCUUCAAGUGUGGCCGUCCAGGUCACCGUGCUAGAGACUGCAGGCAGAAUCCGAAUCAGCUGACACUUCCCGCAACUGGCAGUGGCAACAACCAGAACCGCAACUUCAACGCUAAGCCUGCUUAUGUUCGUGGUCAGGCCAACAACAUUGAUAUGGGUCAAGCUCAAGACCAGCCUACUACCGUGAUGGGUACACUUCUCGUUAACUCAGUACCUGCUUCUGUAUUGUUUGAUACAGGAGCAUCACAUUCCUUUAUGUCGGAAAGUUUUGCAUUCAUGCAUGGCAUUAAGUACGAAGAGAUGAACGUCCCAAUAGUUGUAAACACCCCCUCGGGCCAAUGCCGACCCUCCAUGGUCUGCUCCAAUGUCCCAUUGAAAUUGAAGGAUUGGAAUUCUUUGCCUCUCCCAUGUUAUUAAGUUCUUCCAACAUUGAUCUCAUACCGGGGAUGGACUGGUUUAAAGCUCAUACGGCAUCGGUCGUUUGUGCCACCAAGACCGUCCACCUCCUACACCCUUCAGAUGAAUUAAUAAGCUACCAUGCUCAUCUCGUCCGUAAUGCUGAGGCACGGUUGUAUGCUUUGAAUGCAUUAAAUGCGUCGCCUCUUGAAGGGAUUGAAAACAUCCCAGUGGUCCGAGAAUUUCAAGAUGUCUUCCCAGAAGAACUUCCGGGGAUUCCCCCUACUCGAGCUGUCGAGUUUGUCAUUGACUUGGUACCCGGUACCACUCCUAUUGCAAAGCGCCCUUAUAAAAUGCCACCACAUGAACUCCUUGAACUUAAGCAAGAAAUUGACAACUCGCUCCGUCUGGGUUUCAUCCGUCCGAGUUCCUCUGCUUGGGGAGCACCUUCUCUCUUUGUUAAGAAGAAGGAUGGGACAAAUCGAUUGGUUCAAGACUAUCGUCCUAUCAACCAGGCCACUAUUCAAAACAAAUAUCCUCUCCCUCGGAUAAAUGAUUUGUAUGAUCAACUUGCUGGUUCCACCGUCUUCUCUAAGCUCGACUUGAGGUUGGGAUACCACCAGAUCCAUGUUCGCAAGGAGGAUAUUCCAAAGACCGCCUUUGUUACUCGAUAUGGAUCAUACGAGUACACCGUCAUGUCCUUCGGCUUAACCAAUGCACCGGCAACCUUCUCUCGAUUGAUGAAUUAUAUAUUCAUGGACUACCUCGACAAAUUUGUCAUGGUAUAUCUGGAUGAUAUUCUGGUAUUUUCGAAGAACAAAGAAGAGCAUGCUGAACAUCUUCGUCUUGUACUGGAUAAGCUUCGGGAGCAUAAACUCUAUGCGAAGUAUUGCAAAUGUGAGUUCUGGCUAGACGAAGUGACUUACCUUGGUCAUGUGAUUUCCAAGGAUGGUAUUGCGGUCAACCCCGAACGAAUUCAAGCUAUUCUUGUCUAGACUCCCCCGAAGAAUGUUAAGCAAGUCAGAAGUUUUCUCGGACUCGCCAGCUAUUGCCGUCGAUUUGUCGAGAACUUCUCCAAGAUUGCGAAGCCCUUAACCAAUCUGCUUCACAAAGGUGUUAAGUAUGAGUGGACUGAUAAAUGUCAGGAAAGUUUCCAGGCGCUCAAGGACAAACGUACGUCCGCUCGAGUACUUGCUCCUCCAGAUACGAAAAGGGAUUUCGUCAUAUACUGUGAUGCUUCUCGUCAAGGAAUAGGUUGUGUCCUAAUGCAGGAUCGCAAGGUGAUCGCUUAUGCUUCACGUCAACUGCGUGCUCAUGAAGAGAACUACCCAGUUCAUGAUCUCGAGCUUGCCACAGUCAUUCAUGCAUUGAAGGAAUGGUGACAAUACCUUGUCGGUAAUCGCUGUGAAAUCUACACCGACCAUCAAAGUCUGAAGUACUUGUUCACUCAACCGGAGCUGAACCUACGUCAACAAAGAUGGAUGGAGCGUAUAGCAGAUUUUGACUGUAGUAUAUCAUAUACCCCUGGCAAGGCUAACAUAAUGGCUGAUGCCUUGAGUCGCAAGUCAUACUGCAACCACCUCCAGGUUCAUAAGGUUCACGAUCGUCUGCAAGAGGAAUUCCGUAAGCUGAACCUCCACGUUGUUCCUCAGGGUUACCUUGUUCCCCCUCCUGAAGAGUGUCAAAAUAUGAACCUUCGUGUUGUUAAUCAGGGUUCCCUCAGUAACCUAGUGGUUGAACCAGAUCUUGUGAGCUCCAUAAAGAAUCUGCAAGGCUUUGACGAUGAUGUCGACAUGAUUAAGAGCUAUAUUGCGAAGGGUAAACCCUCCUUUUUCACUGUUGAUGAAGAUGGCGCCUUGUAUUUCAAGGGUCGCCUAUUCGUCCCAAAUAAGAAGGAAAAUCUCAGGAUGACCGGGAAGGUGAUGGAAGAAGCUCAUGACACACCAUUGUCUAUUCACCCGGGUAGUACCAAGAUGUACCAAGACAUCCGGCAAAGAUUCUGGUGGCCCAAUAUGAAACAAGACAUUGCAUGCUAUGUGGCAGAAUGUGAUAUAUGUCGGCGUAUCAAAGCAGAACACCAAAAGCCUGCUGGGACUCUGCAACCUAUCUCUAUUUCGGAGUGGAAAUGGGACCAUGUUGAAAUGGACUUUGUCACUGGUUUUCCCAGAUCUCAGAAAGGUAAUGAUGCUAUUCUUGUCGUCAUUGAUCGACUGUCCAAAGUUGCACAUUUCCUGGCCGUCAAAGAAACAAUUAAUGCUAGUCAGCUGGCAGAUCUUUAUAUGUCAAGAGUUGUUUCACUUCACGGUAUUCCGUUGGUAAUCAGUUCGGACCAUGGCAGCUUGUUCACUUCAAAAUUCUGGGAAAGUUUUCAGAAGGCUAUGGGGACUCAUCUGUCCUUCAGCACUGCAUUUCAUCCUCAAUCCCAGGGACAAGUUGAACGAGUCAACCAAAUUCUCGAGGACAUGCUUCGAGCUUGUGUCAUUUAUUUCGGUAAGAAAUGGGAGGAAUAUCUCCCGUAUGCCGAGUUCUCUUACAACAAUAGCUAUCAAGCUAGUCUGAAGAUGGCCCCUUUCGAAGUAUUGUAUGGGCGAAGGUGUCGAACUCCUCUGAAUUGGUCAGAAAUUGGGGAACGAUCACUCUUCGGUCCAGAUAUUAUUCAACAUGCCGAAGAUCAAGUCUGCAUUAUUCAUGAGAAUCUGAAGGCUGCUCAGUCUCGUCAGAAGAGUCAGUAUGACCGUCAUCAUCAAGAUAUGGUCUAUCAACCUGGCGAAAAGGCUUAUCUUCGUGUCACACCAAUGAGAGGUGCACACCGUUUCGGAAUCAAGGGCAAGUUAGCUCCUCGUUAUAUUGGUCCUUUCACUGUUAUCGAAAGGCGUGGAAGAGUGGCUUAUCAAUUGGAACUGCCGGCGAACCUUUCUCAGGUUCACGAUGUCUUCCAUGUUUCUCAGCUCCGUCGCUGCUUCAAGGACCCUAUUCGAGCAGUGGAUCACGAUAUGCUUGAGCUACAACAAGACCUCUCUUAUAAAGAGCAUCCGGUCCGCAUUCUUGACCAAGCUGAACGUAAGACUCGUCGCAAGGUCACCAAGUUCCUUAAGGUGCAGUGGUCAAAUCACUCUGAAGAUGAAGCCACUUGGGAACGCGAGGAUCAUCUUAGUGAUGAAUACCCCAGGCUCUUUCCCUCUACCUCUUAAUUCUCGGGACGAGAAUUCUUGUUAGUAGGGGAGAAUUGUGACAUCCUCGACUUUUGCUACAGUAAAUAUUGUAAUUAAGCUACAGUGAUCACCCGCUAAUGAUGCCACAUCAUCGAGAAUUACCGUCGUUGACCCGCAUUGAAUUUCUAUCCGGAUUCAGAAAUUGAAAACAAAAGAAAAGUAUAUUUAUAAAUUCAUAUUAACUAUUAAAGGAAGACAUGUAUAGAAAGAAAGUAUUAAAAAUAAUAAUAAUAAAAGAAAGAAAAGAAAAGAAAUUAAAAAAAGGAAAUUAGAAAGAGGAAAUAAUAGAAAAAGAAAAAAAACAAAAAAAAAGAAAAAAAAAGAAAAAAAANCAUGAAGAAACUCCAUGCCGAUGGACUUUUGGAGUCACUUCACUUUGAUUCACUUGACACGUGCGAACCAUGCCUCAUGGGCAAGAUGACUAAAACUCUGUUCUCCGGAACAAUGGAGCGUGCAAGUGACUUGUUGGAAAUCAUACAUACCGAUGUGUGUGGUCCGAUGACCGUAGAGGCACGCGGCGGAUAUCGUUAUUUUCUCACCUUCACUGACGAUUUGAGUAGAUAUGGUUAUGUCUACUUAAUGAAGCACAAGUCUGAAACAUUUGAAAAGUUCAAGCAAUUUCAUAGUGAAGUUGAAAAUCAUCGUAACAAGAAGAUCAAGUUCCUACGGUCUGAUCGUGGGGGUGAAUAUCUGAGUUUCGAGUUUGGUGCUCACUUAAGACAAUGUGAAAUUGUUUCACAGUUGACACCGCCUGGAACACCACAGCGUAAUGGUGUGUUCGAACGUCGUAAUCGUACUUUAUUAGAGAUGGUGCGAUCUAUGAUGUCUCUUACUGAUUUGCCGUUAUCGUUUUGGGGUUAUGCAUUAGAAACAGCUGUAUUCACUUUAAAUAGGGAACCAUCAAAAUCCGUUGAGACGACACCAUACGAACUGUGGUAUGGCAAAAGGCCAAAGUUGUCGUUUCUUAAAGUUUGGGGAUGUGAUGCUUAUGUCGAAAAGCUUCAGCCUGAAAAGCUGGAACCCAAAGCGGAAAAGUGCAUCUUCAUAGGUUACCCAAAAGAGACAGUUGGGUACACCUUCUAUCUCAAAUCCGAGGGCAAAGUGUUUGUUGCUAAAAACGGAGCUUUUCUCGAGUAGGAGUUUCUCUCGAGAGAAUUGAGUGGGAGGAAGAUAGAACUUGAUGAGGUUGUCGAACCUCUCAUCCCUCUGGAUGGUGGCGUAGGGCAAGGGGAAACCUUUGUCGUUGCGACGCCGGUUGAGGAGGAAGUUAAUGAUGAUGAUCAUGAAACUCCGGUUCAAGUUUCUGUCGAACCACGCAGGUCAACGAGACCACGUGCUGCUCCAGAGUGGUACGGUAAUCCCGUCUUGUCAAUCAUGUUGUUAGACAACAAUAAACCUGCAAAUUAUGAAGAAGCAAUGGUGGGCCCAGAUUCCAACAAAUGGCUAGAAGCCAUGAAGUCCGAGAUAGGAUCCAUGUAUGAGAACAAAGUGUGGACUUUGGAAGUACUACGUGAGGGCCGUAAGGCUAUUCAGAACAAAUGGAUCUUUAAAAGGAAGACGGAUGCUGACGGCAAUGUGACCAUUUAUAAAGCUUGACUUGUGGCAAAGGGUUUUUCACAAGUUCAAGGAGUUGACUACGAUGAGACAUUCUCACCCGUAGCGAUGCUUAAGUUCGUCAGAAUCAUGUUAGCAAUAGCUGCAUUUUUUGAUUAUGAAAUCUGGCAGAUGGAUGUCAAAACGGCGUUCCUUAACAGUUUCCUUAAGGAAGAGUUGUAUAUGAUGCAACCCGAAGGUUUUGUCGAUCCUAAGAAUGCUAACAAGGUGUGCAAGCUCCAGCGAUCCAUUUAUGGACUGGUGCAAGCAUCUCGGAGUUGGAAUAAACGCUUUGAUGAGGUGAUCAAAGCAUUUGGGUUUAUACAAGUGGUUGGAGAAUCUUGUAUUUACAAGAAAGUGAGUGGGAGCUCUGUGGCGUUUCUAAUAUUAUAUGUGGAUGACAUAUUGCUGAUUGGAAACAACGUAGAGUUUUUGGAGAGCAUAAAGGAUUACUUGAAUAAAAGUUUCUCUAUAAAGGACCUAGGAGAAGCUGCUUACAUUCUAGGCAUUAAGAUCUACAGGGAUAGAUCAAAACGCCUGAUAGGACUUUCACAAAGCACAUACCUUGAUAAAGUUUUGAAGAGGUUCAAAAUGGAACAGUCCAAGAAAGGGUUCUUGCCAGUUUUACAAGGUACGAGAUUGAGUAAGACUCAGUGCCCAGCAACUGAUGAGGAGAGAGAGCAUAUGAGCGUCGUCCCCUAUGCUUCAGCCAUAGGUUCUAUCAUGUAUGCAAUGCUGUGCACUAGACCGGACGUUAGCCUGGCCAUAAGUAUGGCAGGCAGGUUCCAGAGUAAUCCAGGAGUGGAUCACUAGACGGCGGUCAAGAAUAUCCUGAAGUACCUGAAAAGGACUAAUGAGAUGUUUCUCAUGUAUGGAGGUGACGAAGAGCUCACCGUAAAGGGUUACGUCGAUGCAAGCUUUGACACAUAUCCGGAUGACUCUAAGUCGCAGACCGGAUACGUAUUUACUCUUAAUGGGGGUGCGGUAAGCUGGUGCAGUUCCAAGCAAAGCGUCGUAGCAGAUUCUACAUGUGAAGCGGAGUACAUGGCUCCCUCGGAGGCAGCUAAGGAGGGUGUCUGGAUGAAGCAGUUCAUGACGGAUCUUGGAGUGGUGCCAAGUGCACUGAAUCCAAUAACCUUGUUCUGUGACAACACGGGUGCCAUUGCCUUAGCAAAGGAACCAUGGUUUCACAAGAAGUCCACACACAUCAAACGACGCUUCAACCUCAUCCGCGACUACGUCGAAGGGGAGGACGUGAAUAUAUGCAAAGUGCACACGGAUCUGAAUGUAGCAGACCCGCUAACUAAACCUCUUCCACGGGAAAAGCAUGAUCAACACUAGAACUGUAUGGGUGUUAGAUUUAUUACAAUGUAAUUCGCAUGAUGAUGUGAGGGCUAGAUUAUUGACUCUAGUGCAAGUGGGAGACUGUUGGAAUUAUGCCCUAGAGGCAAUAAUAAAUAUAGUUAUUAUUAUAAUUCCUGUAUCAAGAUAAUCAUUUAUUAUCCAUAAUAUAAUUGUAUUGAAUGAAGACUUAUAUACAUGUGUGGAUACAUAGACAAAACACUGCCCCUAGCAAGCCUCUAGUUGGCUAGCCAGUUGAUCAAAGAUAGUCAGUGUCUUCUGAUUAUGAACAAGGUGUUGUUGCUUGAUAACUGGAUCACGUCAUUAGGAGAAUCACGUGAUGGACUAGACCCAAACUAAUAGACGUAGCAUGUUGAUCGUGUCAUUUUGUUGCUACUGUUUUCUGCGUGUCAAGUAUUUGUUCCUAUGACCAUGAGAUCAUAUAACUCACUGACACCGGAGGAAUACUUUGUGUGUAUCAAACGUCGCAACGUAACUGGGUGACUAUAAAGAUGCUCUACAGGUAUCUCCGAAGGUGUUCGUUGAGUUAGUAUGGAUCGAGACUAGGAUUUGUCACUCCGUGUGACGGAGAGGUAUCUUGGGGCCCACUCGGUAAUACAACAUCACACACAAGCCUUGCAAGCAAUGUGACUUAAUGUAAGUUGCGGGAUCUUGUAUUACGGAACGAGUAAAGAGACUUGCCGAUAAACGAGAUUGAAAUAGGUAUACGGAUACUGACGAUCGAAUCUCGGGCAAGUAACAUACCGAAGGACAAAGGGAAUGACAUACGGGAUUAUAUGAAUCCUUGGCACUGAGGUUCAAACGAUAAGAUCUUCGUAGAAUAUGUAGGAUCCAAUAUGGGCAUCUAGGUCCCGCUAUUGGAUAUUGACCGAGGAGUCUCUCGGGUCAUGUCUACAUAGUUCUCGAACUCGCAGGGUCUGCACACUUAAGGUUCGACGUUGUUUUAUGCGUAUUUGAGUUAUAUGGUUGGUUACCGAAUGUUGUUCGGAGUCCCGAAUGAGAUCACGGACGUCACGAGGGUUUCCGGAAUGGUCCAGAAACGAAGAUUGAUAUAUAGGAUGACCUCAUUUGAUUACCGGAAGGUUUUCGGAGUUACCGGGAAUGUACCGGGAAUGACGAAUGGGUUCUGGGAGUUCACCGGGUGGCAACCCACCCCGGGGAAGCCCAUAGGCCUUGGGGGUGGCACACCAGCCCUUAGUGGGCUGGUGGGACAGCCCAAGAAGGCCCUAUACGCCAUGGGAAGAAAAUCAAAGAGAAAAGAAAAAAAAGGAGGAGGUGGGAAAAGGGGGAAGGACUCCUCCUUCCAAACCUAGUUGGACUCGGUUUGGAAGGGGAGGGCUGCCCCCCUUAGCUCGGCUGAAGCCCUUAGGGGUCCUUGGACCCCCAAGGCAAGGCUCCCCCUCUUCCCCCUAUAUAUACGGAGGUUUUAGGGCUGAUUUUAGAUGACUUUUCCAUGGCAGCCCGACCACAUACCUCCACGGUUUUUCCUCUAGAUCGCGUUUCUGCGGAGCUCGGGCGGAGCCCUGCUGAGAUAAGAUCACCACCAACCUCCGGAGCACCAUCACGCUGCCGGAGAACUCUUCUACCUCUCCGUCUCUCUUGCUGGAUCAAGAAGGCCGAGAUCAUCAUCGAGCUGUACGUGUGCUGAACGCGGAGGUGCCAUCCGUUCGGCACUAGAUCGUGGGACUGAUCGCGGGACGGUUCGCGGGGCGGAUCGAGGGACGUGAGGACGUUCCACUACAUCAACCACGUUCACUAACGCUUCUGCUGUACGGUCUACAAGGGUACAUAGAUCACACAUCCCCUCUCGUAGAUGGACAUCACCAUGAUAGGUCUUUGUGCGCGUAGGAAAAAUUUUGUAUCCCAUGCGACGUUCCCCAACAGUGGUAUCAUGAGCUAGGUUCAUGCGUAGAUGUCUUCUCGAGUAGAACACAAAAGUUUUUGUGGGUAGUGAUGUGCGUUUUGCUGCCCUCCUUAGUCUUUUCUUGAUUCCGCGGUAUUGUUGGAUCGAAGCGGCUCGGACCGACAUUACUCGUACGCUUGUGAGACUGGUUUCAUCGCUACGAGUAACUCCGUUGCUCAAAGAUGACUGGCGAGUGUCAGUUUCUCCAACUUUAGUUGAAUCGGAUUUGACCGAGGAGGUCCUUGGAUGAGGUUAAAUAGCAACUCAUAUAUCUCCGUUGUGGUGUUUGCGUAAGUAAGAUGCGAUCCUACUAGAUACCCAUGGUCACCACGUAAAACAUGCAAUAACAAAAUUAGAGGACGUCUAACUUGUUUUUGCAGGGUAUGCUUGUGAUGUGAUAUGGCCAACAAUGUGAUGUGAUAUAUUGGAUGUAUGAGAUGAUCAUGUUGUAAUAGAUAAUAUCGACUUGCACGUCGAUGGUACGGCAACGGGCAGGAGCCAUAGGGUUGUCUUUAUACUAACGUUUGUGCUUACAGAUGCGUUUACUAUUUUGCUAGGAUGUAGCUUUAGUAGUAAUAGCAUGAGUAGCACGACAACCCCGAUGGCGACACGUUGAUGGAGAUCAUGGUGGCGCCGGUGACAAGAAGAUCGUGUCGGUGCUUGGUGAUGGAGAUCAAGGAGCACGUGAUGAUGGCCAUAUCAUGUCACUUAUGAAUUGCAUGUGAUGUUAAUCCUUUUAUGCACCUUAUUUUGCCUGGAACGACGGUAGCAUUAUGAGGUGAUCUCUCACCAAAAUUUCAAGACGAAAUUGUGUUCUCCCCGACUGUGCACCGUUGCUACAGUUCGUCGUUUCGAGACACCACGUGAUGAUCGGGUGUGAUAGACUCAACGUUCACAUACAACGGGUGCAAAACAGUUACGCACGCGGAACACUUGGGUUAAGCUUGAGGAGCCUAGCAUGUGCAGACAUGGCCUCGGAACACAUGAGACCGAAAGGUCGAUCAUGAAUCAUAUAGAUGAUAUGAUUAGCAUGGGGAUGCUUACCACUGAAACUAUGCUCAACUCACGUGAUGAUCGGACUUGAGCUAGUGUAAGUGGAUUAUGAACCACUCAAAUGACUAGAGAGAUGUACUUUUUGAGUGGGAGUUUAGCGAGUAAUUUGAUUAAGUUAAACUCUAAUUAUCUUGAACAUAGUCUAAGUCCACUUUGAAUAUAUUUGUGUUGUAGAUCAUGGCUCACGCGACAGUCACCCUGAAUUUUAAUACAUUCCUAGAGAAAGCUAAGUUGAAAGAUGAUGGAAGCAACUUUGUAGACUGGGCUCGCAAUCUUAAGCUAAUCUUACAAGCUGGGAAGAAGGAUUAUGUCCUUAAUGCUGCGCUAGGAGAUGAACCACCCGCUACGGCUGAUCGGGAUGUUAAGAACGCUUGGUUAGCACGUAAGGAGGACUACUCAGUAGUUCAAUGUGCAGUCUUGUAUGGCUUAGAACCGGGACUUCAACGUCGCUUUGAGCGUCAUGGAGCAUUUGAGAUGUUCUAGGAGUUGAAUUUUAUCUUUCAGAAGAACGCCCGGAUCGAGAGGUAUGAGACCUCCUAUAAAUUCUAUGCUUGCAAGAUGGAGGAGAACUCGUCUGUCAGUGAACAUGUGCUCAAAAUGUCUGGGUACUCAAACCGUCUAGCUGACCUGGGGAUUGAACUCCCGCAAGAGGCUAUCACUGACAGAAUCCUUCAAUCACUGCCGCCAAGCUAUAAAGGCUUUGUGUUGAACUACAACAUGCAAGGGAUGAACAAGACACCGGCGAGUUCUUUGCGAUGCUGAAAGUCGCAGAGUCUGAACUCCGUAAAGAACAUCAAGAGUUGAUGGUGAAUAAGACCACUAGUUUCAAGAGAAACGGCAAAGGCAAGAAGGGUAAAUCAAAGAAGAGCGGCAAGCCUGUUGCCAAUCCGACGAAGAAACCCAAAGGUGGACCUAAGCCUGAAACAGAGUGUUACUAUUGCAAGGGUAUGGGUCACUGGAAGCGCAAUUGCCCCAAGUAUUUGGCUGAUAAGAAGGUGGCCAAAGAAAAAUCAGGUAUAUUUGAUAUACAUGUUAUUGAUGUGUACUUAACCGGCUCUCGUAGUAGUGCCUAGGUUUUCGAUACCGGUUCUGUUGCUAUUUGCAACUCAAAACAGGAACUGCGGAAUAGACGAAGGCUGGCGAAAGAUGAAGUGACGAUGCGCGUAGGAAAUGGUUCCAAGGUUGAUGCAAUCACCGUCGGCACAGUUUCACUUCAGUUACCAUCAGGAUUAGUUAUGAACUUGAAUCAUUGUUAUUUAGUGCCUGCAUUGAGCAUGAACAUUAUAUCUGGAUCUUGUUUAUUGCGAGACGGUUACUCUUUUAAGUCAGAGAAUAAUGGUUGUUCUAUUUCUAUGAGUAACAUCUUUUAUGGUCAUGCACCCAAUGUGAGAGGAUUGUUCAUAUUGAAUCUUGAUAGCGAUACACACAUACAUAACAUUGAGGCCAAAAGAGUUAGAGUUAACAAUGAUAGCGCCAUAUUUUUGUGGCACUGUCGCUUAGGUCAUAUUGGUGUAAAGUGNCCUCGCCUCACCUCCCCACCGGCACCAGCCUCCGUCGGCCCCUCAACCCCCCACCGAGCCACCCCACUUUUUCCCGGUUGGCCAAGCUCCGGCGCCCCCACCCCGUCGGACGGCCCCAACCCCCGUCGGCCUUCCUUCCGCUCGGUCCAGGAGGGACCGAGCAGGGAGGACCUCAACCUCGCCGGUUCCGGCCGGCCUCACCUCGACCGACCCCCCUCCUUCAACGCCGCCCCCCCUCCGGGAGGGCCUCGACCUCGCCGGCACGUCCUCACCAACACCACCGUCAUCACCGCGCCAUCACCACCGUCACCUCCGCCUUCCCGCGAACUCCGGCUUCACCGGGCCGUCUCAUCAACGUUGCUGAGCCCCUCCUCGGGCUCCUCCCACGAUCUCGUUCCCCUUGCCGUCCCGGUUCCGUUCCGACGAACGGCACUCCGAUCCGGCGCCGUUAGGUUCAUGUAGGAGUUCGAGGAGAUGUAGCUCUCUCUCUCUUUGUGUGAAGUUCUGUGUGUUAACAGAGAGGUGAGAGUUGUGAGAGUUAAAAAAAAUAAAAAAAAUAAAUGAUGUAUAAGAUACGUAUGUAUGUAUGUAUGUAUGAGAUGCGAUGUAUGUAUUGCGUAUAUAGGUAUUUGGAGGAAUACGAUAAUUGCAUGAUUAUGUAUGUGUGAAAAAGAUGAGUAUAUGGCCUAAAGUCACUUACCGGUGGGGCCAACGCACCCGCUGUCUAUGACAGGGAGGCCCCACGCGAUAAUUAAAAAAAUAAAAAUAAUGUUAAUGUUUUUAUUAAAUAAAUAAAUAGAUAUAUUAGUUAAAUUAAUUAAUUGGAUAAUUAGAAUAAUUAGAGUAUGACAUGCGGGUCCCCCACUAAAUUAAUCUGAUUAAUUAAUAUUUAAUCUUAAUUAAAACUUGUGCCUAUGACGUUCGGGACCCGCUGGUCAGUUGACCAGUCAAUUGUUGAUGUGAGCAUCACAUCAUGCUGAUGUCAUAAUAGCUUUUUAUUGAAUUAUUUAAAUCUGUUUUUAAUUCCUAAUUAUUGAAUAAAACUUUAAAAAUUAAUAUUAAAUAAUCCAUAAGUCAGAUCAAAAUAUUUUCAACAUGAAAGUUGAUUAGCAGAACGAGACGAACCCGGAUACACGGUCCAUUCGUGUGUCACGCGUCCCUAGUAUAGCAAACAUGGAACAUUCCCAUCGUAGUAUGACCAGUAGUAGCCCGAGACCCGGAAAAUAUUGUCAGAUAUUCUUCCGACCCGUCUAUGACGGAUGUUGCUGCGUUAGCUCAUGUCUAGCCUGCAUCUUGCCAUGUCAUGCUUUGUGUUGCACCGUGUUGGGGAACGUCGCAUGGGAAACAAAAAUUUUCCUACGCGCACGAAGACCUAUCAUGGUGAUGUCCAUCUACGAGAGGGGAUGUGUGAUCUACGUACCCUUGUAGACCGUACAACAGAAGCGUUAGUGAACGUGGUUGAUUUAGUGGAACGUCCUCGCGUCCCUCGAUCCGCCCCACGAACCGUCCCGCGAUCAGUCCCACGAUCUAGUGCCGAACGGACGGCACCUCCGCGUUCAGCACACGUACAGCUCGACGAUGAUCUCGGCCUUCUUGAUCCAGCAAGAGAGACGGAGAGGUAGAAGAGUUCUCCGGCAGCGUGACGGCGCUCCGGAGGUUGGUGGUGAUCUUAUCUCAGUAGGGCUCCGCCCGAGCUCCGCAGAAACGCGAUCUAGAGGAAAAACCGUGGAGGUAUGUGGUCGGGCUGCCGUGGAAAAGUCGUCUCAAAUCAGCCCUAAAACCUCCGUAUACAUAGGAGGAAGAGGGGGAGCUUUGCCGUGGGGUCCAAGGACCCCUAAGGGCUUCGGCCGAGCCAAGGGGGGAAGCCCUCCCCUUCCAAACCGAGUCCAACUAGGUUUGGAAGGAGGAGUCCUUCCCCCUUUUCCCACCUCCUCCUUUUUUUCUUUUCUCUUUGAUUUUCUUCCUAUCUCGCAUAGGGCCUUCUUGGGCUGUCCCACCAGCCCACUAAGGGCUGGUGUGCCACACCCAAGGCCUAUGGGCUUCCCCGGGGUGGGUUGCCCCCCGGUGAACUCCCGGAACCCAUUCGUCAUUCCCGGUACAUUCCCGGUAACUCCGAAAACCUUCCGGUAAUCAAAUGAGGUCAUGCUAUAUAUCAAUCUUCGUUUCCAGACCAUUCCGAAAACCCUCGUGACGUCUGUGAUUUCAUCCGGGACUCCGAACAACAUUCGGUAACCAACCAUAUAACUCAAAUACGCAUAAAACAACGUCGAACCUUAAGUGUGCAGACCCUGCGGGUUCGAGAACUAUGUAGACAUGACCCGAGAGACUCCUCGGUCAAUAUCCAAUAGCGGGACCUGGAUGCCCAUAUUGGAUCCUACAUAUUCUACGAAGAUCUUAUCGUUUGAACCUCAGUGCCAAGGAUUCAUAUAAUCCCGUAUGUCAUUCCCUUUGUCCUUCGGUAUGUUACUUGCCCGAGAUUCGAUCGUCAGUAUCCGUAUACCUAUUUCAAUCUCGUUUACCGGCAAGUCUCUUUACUCGUUCUGUAAUACAAGAUCCCGCAACUUACAUUAAGUCACAUUGCUUGCAAGGCUUGUGUGUGAUGUUGUAUUACCGAGUGGGCCCCGAGAUACCUCUCCGUCACACAGAGUGACAAAUCCCAGUCUCGAUCCAUACUAACUCAACGAACACCUUCGGAGAUACCUGUAGAGCAUCUUUAUAGUCACCCAGUUACGUUGCGACGUUUGAUACUCACAAAGUAUUCCUCCGGNNNNNNNNNNNNNNNNNNNNNNNNNNNNNNNNNNNNNNNNNNNNNNNNNNNNNNNNNNNNNNNNNNNNNNNNNNNNNNNNNNNNNNNNNNNNNNNNNNNNGAGGGGCGACGCGGGGAACGGCGAGGUCGCCAUGGCAGGGAGGCUGCGACCGGGGCGGCGAGCUCGAGGCCGAGGGCGAGCACGCGGGGAACUCGGGGGCGAGGGCGGCGCGCGGGUCGGGCACUAGCGGCGGCGCGGGCGCAUGGGACGGGGAGCAGAGAGGCGGCUCGACGUGCAGAUGGACGGCUGCGCGCGGGAGACCGCAUGGCGAGGAGGACCAGGGGAGGCCGGCGAGCAGGGGGCUUGGCGCUGGCAGGGCGGUGCGGCUCGGGCCUGGGGCUGGCGGCGCGUAGAGGGGAGAAGAGAGGGCGAGGGAGGUGGCCACGGCGAGGCAAGGGGACCUGGAGGCGGCAGGGCGGAGCAGGGAACGAGGAGACGAGAAUCGGGAGGAGACGGCGCUGUGGGUGACGAGGGAGAGGCGCAGCACGACGCUAGGGAUGGAGGGGGCCUGGGCCUUGGCCGGCUGGGCCUUGGUCUGGGUCCUCUCCUUCUAAAAGAAAAAAUGUCUUGCACAAAAAAAUAAAAUAGCCGGUUUAAAAAAAGGAAACCACAACCAGAAGAAAAGGAAUUUACUAAAACAAAAAUACUUUUGGGCUCCUUAAAACAUGCUCCAACUAUAAAAAUAGAUUGGGCUCUUUAAACAAAUAAAAAUGAAACCUUUUCGAAGAGUAAAAUGAAACCUUUUAAAGAAUUAAAAAUCAAAACCCUUUUUUAAAAGAAUAAAAUAAACCUAUUUUAUUUAAAGUGUAAAAUAAAAGUUCUUUAAAAGAGAUAAGAAAAUGAGAUUGUUUAAAGAUAAAACAAAAGGAGAAAAUGAAGAAAACCCAAGGGGUUGCCUCCAAAUUAAUAAAAUGAUUUUUCUUUAAAAGAAGACGAAUCUUUAAUUUUGAAAAUAGGGAUUAAAACUAAAGUCUUUAGCCAAACCACAAAAAGGAAAUGAGAGGGGAGAGAAGGUUUUAGGUCCGCGGUGCAACAGGGCUUAGCGGUGGCUCUCACGCACCCUCUUUCAUCACUCCAACAAAACAACGCCACUCAUGAAGCACUAUCACCCAACAACACGGAGCAGCAGGCGACACCGACUAAACACAGUUGACAUGAUGCCAUGCAUGAUGCGAUGAUGCAAACUACAUGACGAUGCAACGAAUAAAUCUAAUCACACGACNNNNNNNNNNNNNNNNNNNNNNNNNNNNNNNNNNNNNNNNNNNNNNNNNNNNNNNNNNNNNNNNNNNNNNNNNNNNNNNNNNNNNNNNNNNNNNNNNNNNUUUCCUCCCCUGGGACUCGCCUUUAUAUACAGGUCGAACCCCUAGGGUUUACAAGGAUACUUUCCUUCCUACAAAUCGUGACCCCUGUGGUCUCUAAGUCGCCAUCUUCCGAAGCUUGGAGACCUUCCAGGAAUCAUAAACCGUCAUACGACCUUGAUCCGGCCAAGACAAGGCCCAAAUAAUUGUUUGGGUGAAUCGCCUAAUUGGUAACCCGGCCGAACUAGGGCGGGUCAUUCACAGGUAAUAUCCCCAACACCUAACCCCCACAUAGAACUCUCACAAAGACCAUGGGUUAGUACACAAACACGUAAUGGACAAUGCUUACCAUACCAUGGGAUCACUUGAUCCCUCUCGGUACAUCUUGUAUGGUUUGUGUGUUGAUCAUCUUGAUUUACUCUUUGUCUGAGAUCUUGAUCAACCUUGUGUCUCUAUGACCAUUCUUUGGAUAAUACCUUGAAUACCAUCUUGGUCAUCAUAUAAACUCCUUGAACCCAACAGAUGGACUUCAAGAAGUGACUAUGGACAAAUCCUAUAAAUAUAACUUAAGGCAACCAUUAGUCCAUAGGAAUUGUCAUCAAUUAGCAAAACCACAUAUGGAGAUAUGUGCUCUAACAAUCUCCCCCAUUUUGGUAAUUGAUGACAACCACUUCAAGAGAGUUUAUAUAAGAAAUAAGCAUAACCAAGCGCACACAUACAAAGCAAUAAUGCAUGCGUGCAAGAUGUAAAUGCUUACGCAAUAAAAGAAAACCCUCAAAACAUAUCCAAAGUAAACUCUCUAAACUUCUCCCCCAUUGGCAUCGAUUGCCAAAAUGGACGAAAAGUUUAGAAAGCCAAUAUAGUAGGUGGUCCUCCAAAAAGUGUGUACUUCUCAGCAAAUGAGUGCAAAGAAAUACACAAAUACAAUGAUAAGUAGUUGGAGGAAAAAAACUAUAUUGAGGACCCAAAGAUUGCAAAUGAAAGGAUCGUAUGCCACAAAGACAUACAAAAAAUAGAGGCAAGCAAUCAAAAGAUACCAGAUGGAACAAACAAUCAUAUGGUCCUUGGAACCACAUGAAUAAAAGAUAUUAUGAUAAAGGCAACAGAGUGUUUUAUGAAAAUUAGAGAAGCUCCCCAUGAUUUGUGCACUAAUACAAGAUUUUUGUAUUUGAUAUAAGUGCACAAAAUAGGAUCGUUGCUCCCCCAAAAUUAAUAAAAACACACAACGAGUGCAAGAAGAUAGAUGAGACAAAAAGCAUAUCAAUUGCACAAAACAAAUGGUUGAGCAACAUGUAAAAGAAGCAACUUAAGAAUAGGCUCAACCAAAAUAAUGUGUGUGAGUCAUGGCAAAGCACUUGAGAAGACUAAGAUAAGGAUGAGCAUUACUCAUCAACAUAGUCUUGAUGAAAUGAGACACAAAGUGCAAGACAUAUCAUUCCCACACACACAUACUAGAAAAUGGGUUCACAAGCUUACUAAUAAACAAAAUAAGAACCAACGCUUGUGACAACCCAUGGUGAAGAUAGGAAAUAAGAACCUUGUCAAGAGGAGGGAUACCAAUCGAAAUGGCAAAACUCUCAUCAAAACAAGCAUGAGGAAAAAUAAUCAUCACGGCCAAAGAGUGCAUCAAUAUGUAGGAAAAUAAGAUACGCACUCAAGACAAAUCCUUUCACGAAGCCACCAAAAACUGAAAAAGGAAAUUCAAGGGUGGACGUGAAAGAAAAUAGGAUAUCAAUUAGAGAUGUAACUUAUCUCAUGUGUAAAAGAUUCUAAGUAGAAGACAAUCAUGAUGAUAUAUAUCCACAAAGAAGGAUGUACACACGAAAUGGUUACAAGAAGGAACAAACAAGAUAUCCAAAAGGAAGUCAUAAAUAUAUCAAUAAGAUCUUUGCUUGGUAGCAUAGCACAUGGCCUAAUAUUUUCUUAUUGUACAAUAUGAACUUCCAACAUACGAGCAUCAAAGACAUCCCAACUAGCAAUAAGACAUCAUCGUUCAGAUGCUUUGAGAAAGGAAACAAGUACUACAAGAACGAAUCAAGAGAUUCUUGCCAUGAUGCAACCUCGAAAAGAAAAGACAGGUUUGGGCCUUUGCAAGAAAUGAAUGCAUGAAGUAGAUACUUGUUACAGAGACAACAUUGGAUUGAUGUAGUAGAUAGUUGUUCGUUGAUCAUCCUAACUUGGCUCCAAUAACCACAUGGUAUCAACACCGUCCUUAUAGGUGAGCCGAGCAUCCAACGCGUCUCCAAUUGUUCCUGGAACAACAAAACAAACGAAAUGGUACCCAAGCUCAUUGGGACCAAAGAUUUAGAAAACCAACAAUACAUAGGACAAACUCCACAUAAAUAUGUACACAUAUAUAUGAAUUUGAAUUUCAUGCACACUUUAGCCAAUUUAUGACAAGGUGGAGUUUCCCCUAUAUAUUGGGUCAAAGAAAGAAAGCAAGCAAAAGAAGCUAUAUAUAGUAAAUAUGCAUGCUCAAGGCUUUCAAUAAUCAACUCAACACAAAGUUGAUAAUACACCAAAAGAAAAGGUAUCAAGUGAUAAUAAGAUACCAAACAAAAAA